CCCCUCCUCUACUUUGAGUUGCACCAUGCUUUGUUUCAGAUUCAUCCACCCAUGGGUGAUACAUGGCAAGUUAGGGGUUGCUGCAGUUUGAGGUUAAUCCCUUGAUUGGCUGCUGUUUAGGGUUGAUUGGCUCAGUUGGCUGCUAGACUUUAGGCGUGCAUACAUGGGUAUGACGUGCUCUGCACAUUUAGGAUUGAAGUAUUGUGUUGCAGCACUCAGUGACGUUAAUUUAGGGCAUUUCAGUGUCAGUUCCACUAUAUUUAGGGGGACAUUUAAUAGUGCAAUUUCAUGGUUAUUACAGUGUAAUUUCAAGGUUCUUGCACUGUAAGUUCAGAGAAUUACAAUGUUAGUUUAUGUGAAUUCCCGUGCAUUUUACUGUGUAAUUUAAGUGCAAUGGAAAUUAUAGUGUAAAUUUAGUGUAAUUUACUAUGUAAAUUUAAGGAAAUUACACUGUAAUUCGUGUGCAACUUUUAGUGUAAUUUACAGUGUAAUUUCAACGGGUUUACAGUAGAGUAAUUUAAGUGUAAUUACAGUGUGCACUUUAGAGCAAUCAUACUAUAUAUUUAGUGAAUUUAAAGCAUCACUCCAUACCUUUCGCGUUUGUCUUUUUUCUCUACAAGUUACUGCUAUACUGUUGAUUGAUUCUACCCUUGCGUAAGAAACUUUGAUGAGCACAUAAUUUUCUACUAUGUAAUUUGAGCAGCUUGGUAACCGUAAUUUUCAGUUUCCUUUGACCCUAGGCCCUUGUGCUUUAGAAUUGCUAUUUUUUGUCAGUGUACAUGCUAGAUCAUGUGGUUUAUGAUACUUCUCUGGUCCUUAUAAACAAAGUGACAUGUUUGUGCCGUGGAAUAGAAAGAAUAUUUCAGUGUCUCUCUUUAGGCCUUUUGUCGAAUUGUUAUGUGGUCCAGCGCAGCCUUACGAAACCGGGUUCUAUGCAGUUCAUGUACAGUGCAAAACUCAUUAUUGCAGGUCAGGCCUGUUGCAUGUUUUUGGUCAUUGACAUGCAGGAAAGAAGGAAAAAGGACAUAGAAGUAUCAUUUUGUUAUUGGUCAAGAAAUUUGAAUAAUGUCCAACUGAUUUCAGUUGAAUGACAAAUAGACAAUCCCUUGUUUAAUCAGUAGAUAUACACCAUUAACUCAAAUAGCAAAGAAAUACUAGUCCACUUAUAAUCGACGAUUGCGCAUGAUGCAUCCAUCCAUUCUAUCGGAGAGGCUGUGUUUUUUUUUCUUCUUGUGCUAAGGUUGAUAGCAUCACAUAUCUUAUGCUUUUGUUUCUCAAGUAGAGCCUUGAGAUAGAUGUGUCUGCAACCGUCCUCGAAUGGUUGUGCAAUAAUAAUGGUCCUAGCUAAUUACUAGUAUGCAUUGCUUAUAAAACAACUUGCUGCUCAUUUCACUUUGAGUAUGCUGUUGCUGCUAAAGUAGCAACAACAACAGCCAUGCUUUGGUUCCCCAAAAUUCAGAUGGCACUGACAUCUCUACAUACACACACAUAUGAAUAUGCACCUUGGUUUGGUUCAGUUUGCAUGUGUACCGUUUCUUUAACUUUGACUGAAACUAUCUUGGUGGCACUUGCAUCAAUGUUGUGCUCUACCCUUGUAUAUGUCCUUGGAGAAGAUGACCAUUGGACUGUAGGGGACGAACAACCUUGUCCUGCUCGAGGAGGAGGAGGAUGGCCACCCCGAGCUCGAGGACGACACGACAACAGGUAGCACUCACCUCCCUACCAAGGUGAAGGUCCGAUCCGCCUGUUUAGAUGGUCUGCUCUUGUCUUGUGAUCUGAGGGGAGAAGAAAGCCAUUGGCCUCAAUUAUAUUUGCAUGUGAGGGGAGCGAUCCUUUUGGUAGAUGCAGAGUAUAGAUUAGAUAUUCCACAAAACUCACCACACGAGUAUACUACCUAUAUCCACAAAAUUCACCACACGAGCAUACUACCUAUGUCCAAAUGUGGGUGUGAUACUUUCAACAUGAAACAUGAAUAUCAGGUUGGGAGUUUGGAGUUUAAUCAAAUAACGCAGCAAGGCGAUCAUCGGUAGGGAUGCACCUUUGAGGCGGCAAGGAGAGCUUCUCAAAGGCAGUACACAUGGCUUAUUACUGCUUGUAUGUGAGUACGCAGAUGUGGAGUCUAUGGAUAGAGGGUUAGGGGCGCAACGCAAGCAGCAGUAGGGGAUACACAACCUGAUUUGAUUUGGUCAAUCACGGGGAAAUGGGAGAAGGCCUAGGGUGCAAAGUUUGGAUCGGUGGGUUGGUAGCGUUAGGCAUAAUAGAGAUCAAACUUUUUCAUAGGCGUAUGUAGGUUAUUUCCUUGAAGCAUUUUAUCAAAAUGGUGUAGGUGGGUAAUAUCUCUCAACUUAAAUGUGAAGGGAAGAUAUUAUUUCCUUGUAGAGGCCGAGGAAUACAUGGCGUACCGCUACAUAUGCAACCAUGAUUUUUUGUGGAUGGUUACGAGAGAACCUGAAAUAUACCAUGGACCGAAGCAUGGGCACAUGAAGUUCCAACACCGAAGGGUAAGGAGACGGGCCCGCGUCAUUUACGUCGGGAAUAUGCGACCUUGAUUCUUUGUGGAUGGUGAUGCCAAGACUAUAGGAUAAGGUGGAUCCGGACACAUGAGCAGAUGAAGUGCCUGACACGAAGUAGGUUAAGGAGCUGGACCCAAGUCAUCUACACCGCAAAUUGGUCGAAGGUGUGCCGUGAAUGAUAGAUGUACUUGAGGGGGGAGAAAGCCUGUGAAAAGAACAUACGGUUGCUCGAUGAUGACACAUGUCUUGAGAGGAUGGCGAGAACCCUAGAUAUGGUUAAGGCAUGCCACGAGAACAUCACCCCGGUCGCGAGAUUCUCAGUGGUGUGCGGCAACCGAAGCCAAAAGGGCACCCCCGCAAGACCUUGAAACGCCAGAGCGGUGGGCGCACAAGCAAUGGUGAGGAAAAUCACAUAAGGUACCAAGCAAGGCCAUCCUGAUCAGGGCUCCAUUGCCAAGCUUAUGUCCACCACUGCGAUUUAGACAAAUUUUCAACUGGCGUCUCUGUCUUCUCAAGAUUUCCACGGUCCCAUCAGGAUGUAUAUAUAUACUUUGUUUAUUUUGAAAAUUAAUAUAUCACCAAAGAAAUUUUAGUACUUGUCAUUCUUUUAAUUACUUAGUAGUUUGCAUGAUAGACUCAAUCUUAUAUUUACUAAUUAGAGGCACCAAAUAAGCGACCACGUUAAUCCUCAAAAACUAAGAAUAGUAUCCAUCCGAUCUCCAUAUUAAGUAUCUGUAGCCGUCCAUUGGACAACUCAAGAGUCCGUUGUUACUAUCCCACGUCAUGCUCGAUGUAAUGUGAAAAAAAAUCAUCUCCUUGGCCAAAUCCAUCCCACGUCAUGCUCCAUGUAAUGUGAAAAAAAUCAUCUCCCCGGCCAAAUUCUUCCUCCCCCGGUCUAUCAUGUGAGGCACUUGCGCAUCAUCCACAAAUCCCUAGCGCAAAUCCAUCCCACGUCAUGCUCCAUGUAAUGUGAAAAAAAUCAUCUCCCUGGCCAAAUUCUUCCUCCCCCGAUCUAUCAUGUGAGGCACUUGCGCAUCAUCCACAAAUCCCUAGCGCUACUCUUCCAGGUCAUCCUCCUCCUUCCUAUCUUUUGCUGUCUUAAUGCAAAACAAUUCCGUGAGAUCCUUGUGAUCCUCUUCAUAUUCACGUAGAAAUCUGAACUGUCCCAACCACGCUGCAGAUCUGUGGUCCGUCUUGGACAAAGAGAAGGCCCUUUCAAUCUCCACAGAUGCCAUGCCCCAACCAAACCACAACCCAUGAUAAACGAUGUUGUUGAGAAGGAGGCGCUACCUAAGUCUGAUCGGACAUAUUCCAUUGUUGGGGAAGCUACAAGUCGAAGAACUAUGGUAGACUGAUUGCAGGUAAUUAAGGAGCUAGCAACGAUCCAGUAGGUUUUUGUUAUUAGGAAUUUUUAUGUAGUGCGACUUGAUCUCGAAGAACAAGUACACCAUUAGAGUUCGUUUUGGAGGAUUUUGAUGAUGUGCGCUUAGUUACAGACUUAUCUAAAUACGUAUAACUAGGAUGGACAAUAUUUGUAGGAGCCAUACAAUCCAAUUAGGGGAUUCAGUUUGUCAAAGAUGUUUCCACAUAUCCCUAGCGCUGCUCUUCUAGGUUGCCCCCUGCUUCCUAUCUACGGUCUUCAAGUAAAGCGAUUUAAUGAGUCUCUUGCUGCAGAAAUUCCAACUGCCACAAGAAGGCUGCAGACCUGCGGUUCAUCUUGGCUGAGGUGUCAUACAAUCCAGUUAAGGGAUUCCAUUCAUUGAAGAUGUGGUUGUACUUUCGCACAACAAACUCAAGCACAUCUUCUUAUGUUCUUAGAAACUGGAUGAGUUGUUUUGGACUUUCUUUGGUCUACUCCUCUAUGCUUCUUGUUGGGAAAGUUAGUAUGCAAAAGUUAUGCCCAUCUUCUUAAAUUCGGAUGUAACUUUUCGAGUAGAUGAUUUUUCAUAUAAAAAACUUUUUCAUCCGAGUUAGUAUGCAAAAGUUAUGCCCAUUUUUACAAAUUUCAGAGAGAUUUUGCAAAUAAAGUCAAAAUUCACAUUUGCAAAUUUUCCCAACAACUAGACCACAUAUCACAUGGGAAACUUAUUUUCUUUUAUUUUUUUGACAUUUCCAUCAUUUUCUUUUAUUUUUUUAAAANNNNNNNNNNNNNNNNNNNNNNNNNNNNNNNNNNNNNNNNNNNNNNNNNNNNNNNNNNNNNNNNNNNNNNNNNNNNNNNNNNNNNNNNNNNNNNNNNNNNNNNNNNNNNNNNNNNNNNNNNNNNNNNNNNNNNNNNNNNNNNNNNNNNNNNNNNNNNNNNNNNNNNNNNNNNNNNNNNNNNNNNNNNNNNNNNNNNNNNNNNNNNNNNNNNNNNNNNNNNNNNNNNNNNNNNNNNNNNNNNNNNNNNNNNNNNNNNNNNNNNNNNNNNNNNNNNNNNNNNNNNNNNNNNNNNNNNNNNNNNNNNNNNNNNNNNNNNNNNNNGGCACGAACCGGGACUAAAGGUCUCAACCCCAUUAGUCCCGGUUCGUGCCUCAAACCGGGACUAAAGGUCUAAUCUUUAGUCCCGGUUUGAGGCACGAACCGGGACCAAUGGUUGUGGGCCAGAAGCAAGGCCCAUUGGUCCCGGUUCAUCCCACCAACCGGGACCAAAAGGUCCAGAUGAACCGGGACCAAUGGCCCACGUGGCCCGGCCGGCCCCCUGGGCUCACGAACCAGGACCAAUGCCCCCAUUGGUCCCGGUUCUGGACUGAAACGGGACUAAUGGGCUGACCCGGCCUGGACCAAAGCCCUGUUUUCUACUAGUGAGUCCAAUCUUGUGUUUAUUCCUCCAUGUCGGCAAAGAGUCAGUAGUCAAUCUCCAAGCAAAAUUGCGCACAGUGGGGGGUACAUCACAUCUCCAUAUAUAUUGCCAGCAUUUUCUACUACCAUCUGGCGAUGUGCUAGACGCCUCUGCAGUAUUUCUGUGAGCUACUUCCAAAGCCAGCAUAUAUGUUGAUUUGACCGUGAAGACGCCGAGCUUCCCCGGCCCCCAUGCAAUCACAUCCUCACCUAAUCUUGGAGAUUCCCGUAUCUUUAAGAUUUCUUCCACAUCAGCUGAUAAGAAGUACUGCUGAAGAAGUACCAAGUUCCAAGAACCAUUAUCAUUUAGCAAGUCGGACACAAAAUGAAUGCGACAUCUUCCCUGCAGCGACAUGGGUUUGUAUGAAAAGGGCCUUGGAAUCCAGUUAUCUGUCCCCUUUGUUGGUAGUCAGAGUCACUAGGACAACUAACUGUGUUAGCAUCUAGAGUUGUAACAAGCCACAGUCCGCCUAUCUUGGUUGCGCAGCGAUGAUGCUACCAUCUCUUACUACAAAGUACAUGCCUUGCACCGGAAACAUCGCAACCAUAUGACAUCUAUCCGAGUGGGCGACCACGUGGUGACCGGGCAUCAGGCCAUGGCUGAGGCUGCCUACAACCACUUCUCCGAUGUGCUCAGAAGUGCCACGGAGCAUGACAUCACGCUUGAUCUCCGCGUUUUGCGUGUUCAACACAAUGCUACUCCGUGCGGUGGACCUAGGCCUUCUUCGACGCCUUACCACUCGGCACGCGGCCUCGAGUAUAUCUCUAUACGCAGACGAUGUUGUCAUCUUUUGUCACCCGGACAGCCAUGACAUUACCACCGUGUGAACCAUCCUGCACAUAUUCGGGCUUCAUACAAACUUCGCCAAGUGUUCUGCCACCCCGAUCCGGUGCGAUGAUGACAACAACAUGAUGAUCACAUCUGAGAUGCAGUUCCCCAUCACAUACCUCGGGUUGCCUCUUUCUGUCUACAAGGCCUCCACGACUAGCUUGCUCCCGAUCAUCGACAAGCUCGGCCAAAAGCUCUCCACUUGGCAUGCUUCCAUGAUGUCCAACGGGCAACGGCGACCGCCUUGCUCUCAUGCAUCACGUACUUAGUCCUAACCCGACAUACUUCCUCACCGCCUUUGCUCUCAACCAAUCCAUCCUCAAGAAAUUCAACCGCAUCAUCUGCGGAUUCCUUUGGGCGGGAGGCACCGAAGGCAAUGGGGGUCAGUGUCGUGUUAACUGACAGCAAGUUUGCCGGCCAAUCUCUCUUGGCGGUCUUAGCAUCAGGGACAUUCAAAGGACCGGCAUCACCCUCCGUGCGUGGUUGCUUUGGUUACAGUGCACCGACCCCUUGCAACCCUGGAGCCACUUACACAUACCUCACGACCCAGACGUGACUGCCAUCUUCAGCGUGUCUACGACCUGGGAUCUUGGGUCCGGCGUCACCUGCAGAUUCUGGUCCGACCACUUGAUAGAGGGUAGAUCCGUGGCUGAGAUCCCCCCAGUCCUCGCCUCGUCCCUCAACGCCGAUGCAAGACUCGCACCGUUCGCGAGGGCCUCCACCUUAGAGCCUGGGUGCAAGAGAUUCAUGGAGCACUCGGACCGACGGCCAUGUUGCAAUAUGUUGAUCUUCAGCGUCGUGUGCGCCACAUUGACCAGAUGGGUCGGAUACACUCAAAUGGCGCUGGACCGCCUCCGCUAUGAAAUGUCUAUGAUGGGAGAAUUUAAAUUCUUCUUAGGUCUUCAAAUUCUUCAACAGCGCAAUGGCAUCUUCAUAUUUCAGGAGAAAUACCUCAAGGAUGUAUUGUGGAAAUUCGGCAUGAAAGAUUGCAAAGGCGUCAAAAUCCCUAUGCCCACAAAUGGCCAUCUAUGCACUGAUGAAAAUGGUAUUGACUUUGAUCAAAAGGUAUACCGCUCCAUGAUUGGUUCUUUAUUGUAUUUAUGUGCAUCUAGGCCAGAUAUUAUGCUUAGUGUUUGCAUGUGUGCCCGAUUUCAACCUACACUGAAGGAAUCACACGAUAAGGCUGUGAAGCAUAUUCUUUGUUAUCUAGCUCACACACACCAACACUUGGAUAUGGUAUCCCAAGGGCUCGGCUUUUGAUCUCAUUGGGUACUCACUCUGACUAUGCUGGUGAUCCUGUGGACCGCAAGUCAACAUCAGGCACAUGCCAUUUCCUCAGACGAUCCUUGGUCUGUUGGUCCUCGAAGAAACAGAACUACGUAUCCUAACACUUGUGCAAAGUUGAUGACUUAGACGUGCAACACACGAAGAAACGUUUUUCUUCAUUCAAUGAAGAUUAACACUCUAAGUGUGAAGAAAUUAACGAAGAAUUUGAUUCUCAGAGCCCUUCAACAAUUGUACAUGGUGUUUGAAAUCAUCAUUCUUAUACGGUGGAUCACGCCACCACCAAAAGUUGAAAAUCUUGAAUUUGAGUUUUUACUCAUUUUUGAAUUUCCUCAGUUGUUCAAAUUCUUCAACUUUUCAAUGUCUUCACUCUUUCCGUUGUUGUUCUUCAUUGGCUAUAUAUAUAUAUAUAGGGUGGGUCUAUUAUGAUAACACCCUUCAAGACCCUUAUUCUGCUAACACCCAGCUUAUUCUGCUAACACUACCUACCUCACCGUAGCUACAGACUAACCCAAAAAAACAACUGGACCGAACUGCUCGCGCAAAGGGAAAACCCAACCGACCUUAUCUUCUCAUACCCACUCCCCCCAAUUCCCUCUCUAUCUCUCCCGCAACCUCCCUUGCACGGACGCCGCCUAACCACCACCUCCCAUGUGCCGCCGCGCUGCGACCUCCUCUGCGCCGCCGCGCCGCGACCUCCUCUGUGCGGCCGAGUCCGCUCCCCGGCGACUCCCGAUCCGCAGCUCCCCCCAUCGCCCCUGCCUUCCUCUGCGCGCCGCCGCUCCAGGUCGCGGCCACUGCGUUCCACCAACAGCAGCACAUCAGUACGGCGGUAGUGCGGCCCCGCUUCCAUUCCUCCAUGGCCGACCCCCUACCUCCCACCUUCUCCCUCCCUCCCCGAUCGACAACCUCCAUCACCGCCCCGGUCAUGUUGCCCCUCCCGACCCCGCGCCGCCGGAUCCGGGCAACCACGCCGGCGUGCCCUUCCACGAGCUUUCCCGUCGUGACCCUACCACGAGCUGCUCCAGCCCGACCCUGCUUCUUCAACAACGGCACGGUGGCAACUCUCCUUAGUUCUCUCCUGCACCGGGUUCGCGAGCUCCGUUCACGGGCUCGCCGGAUCUCGUGAUUGGGGCGCUGGCGACGUGCUCUCCUACUCCACCGCGCCCCUCCUCUACUUCAGCUCAUGUGCCUGUGCCUCUCGUGGACUCAUCGGCGCACAGGCCGCGCUGGAUCCAUGCUAGUUCGAGGCCCCGACGGCCUCCUCUUCCUGCUAAGCCGCCGAGAUCCGUCGGGGUAUCAAGUUGUUUUGUCGGCCCAAUACUCCUUCUACCUUCCCUUGCCGGCGGUCGUGCAACUUCGGUGAACACCGCUACUCGCGCGCGGAUGACGACGGCUUAGUGGCACUGCAGUUCGCUUUGCAGGGGAUCCGUUGAUGCGGCCGUGGAGUUCGGCCCACAGGUGCAUGAAGUUAUCUUGCCCCCCUCCCAUAGUUUACCCUUCCGCAUGAGCCCCAUGCUGUAGUCCAUUGGGAAGAAGCUCGUGGUGCGGAUGCUCAGUGACAGUGCUGGUGCGUUUCAGAUUUUGUUUUUCUGCAAUUUGUAGGCGACGCUGGAGCCUUGCAGUCCAUUGGCUCGGGGGAGAGCAGUGGAGAGGACACACGUGCGUGUAGUUCCCUGUCCAUUGAAAAUGUAGAAGCCCAUCUUGCUGCAGUGUAUGUGAGCAUAUGGCCUGCAAGUGCUGCUCUUUUCCCAGAUUGAAAACAUUGCGGUGUGGUUGGCUGGCCAUCGACGUGCACUUCGCUUUGGGGGGCAGUACGUUCUUUGUGGAUGUGCACUUCGUUUGGCCCGAGCGGCAUGAAGCUCCAUUUGCGCGCAUGUGUGGCUCGGCUAACUAGUUUGUGCAGUUCGCAUGAUACCUUUAUUAUGUGAUGCCUCCCUAGUUGCUGGAGUUCACUUCUUUGUAUUUAUUGAAACAUCAUGUAGUGCACUGUGAAACUCUCUGUUGUUCACUUGUAAAAACAAAUAGCGGUUCCCUUUGUAAAAAAAGUGCAGCCCCUUAGUGGUUCACCUUGUAGAAAAUGAGAAAGAAAUCCCCAUGGGAGGUUCACUUCUUUUUCCAAUGCAUUUUGUUUUGUUUGUGGGAUGAUUGAAAAAAGAAGUUCACUCCACUUGUUUAGUAGCUCAUACCCCUUUGUAUGAAAUGCAAUUUGUUUCGUGUGUCUCAAAAUCAGUCGACUACAUCAACACGUGCAGUGCGUUUGGUUUUUGGAUGUGGUUCAUUUUUUAGAGUGAUGUUGUUCACUUGUGCCGAACAUGAAAGCACAAAAAAAAUUAGCAAAACAAUAAAAAUAGUAAUGCGGUUCACUAUGAUAUAUGAUGUGGUUCGCUUGCUCGCGUCUCUGCGGUCCACUCUUGUUCAUAAAAAAAUUGAAAAAAACCAUCAAAAACUCGUCCGAGAAAAAUUUACAUCCGACAAAGGAAACCAUGAAGUUCACUUGCCUGUCUGAUGCAGUGCGGUUUCAUCCGAUGCAGUGCGGUUUUCUGUCGAAUGACGUUCACUCACCGAUUUGGGUGUCGCAAAAAACAGUGUCCGCAUAUUCGUAAUUUUAAAAUUUCUUUUAAACCGUAAGGAAUUAGAGAGAGUGUUCUACAUGAAAAAGUUGCGUCUCGUCGAUAUCUUUCCAAUGCCAUAUCAUUUGAAUCAUUUUGACAAGCAGUUUGUAAAAGUUUGGCAAAAAACGACUGCUGCCACUCAUCGUCCGCCGCACCAUUUUAAAAAUUAACUUAAAACCGUAGGGAAUCUCGAAACCAUUUCUACAUAUGAAAGUUGCGCCUUGUCCAUAGCUUUCCAACGAUGUAUUACACGCCUCAGUUCGAUAAACGGUUCAAAAACUAGAGUGAAAACAGUAUCGAACAUUGCAAAAAAUUUCAAAAACGUAAUUUCGCGAUUUAGUAAAUUUGAAACUGCUCAAAACCGAAACGAAUUAGAGAAAAUAAUAGGUAUGGAAAAGAUGUGCCUCAACGAUAUCUUUCCAACGGCGUAUCAUUUGCUUUAUUCCGAUGAGCGGUUUUGAAAAAAUCAUGAAAAUACGCUCGCUGCCACUCGUCAUCUGCAGCACCGUUUUUGAAACUGCUCUUAAACCGCGAGGAUCUUGAAAAGUGUUCAACAUGGCAAAGUUGCGCCUAAUCCAUAGCUUCUCCAGGUAUAUUACACGCAUCAUUCUGAUAAAUGGUUAAAAAAUUAGAGCGAAAAAACUACUAAAAAUACUGCAGCACACUUGGUUCAAACAAUGACGUGCACUUGCGUUGAGCGUGCACUUCGGAAGUGUUAUCAGAAUAACUAUUCUGCUAAUAUUAGCAUAAUAGACAGACUGUAUAUAUAUAUACAUCUGGUUACCCUAUGAUGAAUUCAAGCGGUUGAACUGAUGCUUUCUGUUCCUGUUAAAAAUCGUCUUUUUUAGUUCAAAAGUUUUUACAAUUUUUUUAUCAAAAUAGGGCGUGUAAUAUAUCAUUGGAAAGCUCUUGACAUCCACAUUACAAUAUUAUAAUUUUUUUUUGCAAAAAAAUUAAGAUUUACGAGCAGUUUUGAAAAAACCGUUUUUUUUUCAAACUGAAAAUGCGAAUCGUAUUUUGGACUUAAUUUUCAAACGGUUUGUUGGAAUUGAGCAAAUGAGAUGGCAUUGGAAAGCUUGUGAAAAUCCGCAUCUUCUAUAUUUCUACUAUUUUUUCAAAUUCUAUACGAUUUAAAAGUAAUUUGAAAAAGAGUGAAAUUCUGGGUGAAAUGUUUUUUCACUAUUUUUUUGCAAAUGGUUUGUAGGAUUGAUACAAAUGAUAUGGUGUUGGAAAGCUAUGGAAAAUGUGCAAAUUUUGCGUAUAGAAAGUUUUUUCUAAUCCUUACGGUUUAAAUACGAAUUCAAAUACGGUUAAAAUUGAUUUUGAACGUGUUUUUUAAAAAGUUUGUCGAAAUGGGGAAAAUAAUAUACCGUUGGAUAGCUAUCGAAAAUGCAAAACUUAGUCAUGUUGGACGUUUUCUCUACUUCGCAACCGUUUAAGAGUAAUCUUGAAUACGGCAUGACGGAUCCUGCUAUUUUCUCGUCUGAAAAACAGAUUAGUCGUACUGAUAUAUGUGUAUGUUUGUACUGAGCUAUUUUUUGUAGAGUAAUUUUAAAUGGUGCCGAAAAAAUGUACUUAUACUGAUGCUUGCAUGGUUUUGUACUAAACGUGUUUUCACUAACUAGACUUUGCUCUGUUUUUUCGUGAGAACCAUCAUGCUGUUUUUUUGUGAGAAAAAAUAGAGUACUUGUACUGAUCUUCGUGUGUGUUUGUACUAAUGUAUUCUUCAAAGAGUAAUUUUGAAAGGUUACGAAAAAAGAGUACUUGAACUGAUGUCCGUAUGGGGUUGUACUGAGCGUUUUUUCACAGACUAGGCUUUACUCUAUUUUUUUACUGAAAAUUGUUUCAUCAAUUGUUCGCAAAUGAUAGUACGAACUAAGAUAUGUGUUGGUUUGUACUGAGCAUUUGUUUCAUCAUUUGUUCGCAAUUGAUAGUACGAACGGAGCUUUGUUCAUUUUUAUACUGAGCAUUCUUGUCAGUGCCAGGAUCUCCGGAUUUAUGUUGUUUUGUUCUGCGAACUUCCUCAAAAUUUUAUUGGUAAAUCACACCGUUUUUUUUCUUUUGCUAAAUUUUUGUCCUCUGAACUUGUGACCUAUGGAGUUUGUACUGAUAUGAAUCGUUUUGCCGAACCGCCACAAUUUUUUGUGUAUUGAAUCACUAUAUAACUUAGAACCAAAUUGUUUUUCUUAACAUAUAUUUGAAUUGUUUCUAUAUGUACAUUGAAUUGGGGAAGAGUAGCAAUAGUUAUACAUACUUUAUGGAUAGUAAUACAUGAAUUUCUUGGUAAACUGAAGAAUAUACUCUGGACCGUAAUACAUGUCCUCUCGAGUUUGUACUGAUGUGAAUCCUUUUGAACUUGCUCUCGACGGUAAUACAUGACCUCUCGAGUUUGUACUGAUGUGAAUCCAUUCGAACUUACGUGGCUUACAUCAUUGAACGGACUCUAUUCUUCUCACUACCACCAUUGUUUUGUCCAUUUCUUUUUGGACUUGCAUGGCUUACAUCGUUGAACGGGCUUAGGUGGAUAUGUACUAAUGAACUACUAUGAUUUGUAGCUCUCAGGAAAUGUAAUCCUUUCUUUCCCUGUUAUUCUGAAUACCAAACAGCAAAAAAUCAGUUCUCAUAAGCACGAAAAAAUUAUAUAUGUACCCCUAAAUUUUGCAGCUAUUUUGUCCUCUUUCAUUUCGAAAAAAGCAUACAAAAAGCAAAAGCACAAACUAUACAAAAGGUUUUAGACACCAAACUAGUAGAGAAUUAAAAAUAGGCAUCAGGCAGCAACUUGCUAAACAUAGCACGAGUCAUAUACAUAUGCAUUUCAUCCCAUUAUACUUCUCCACCCGCAUGGAAAGUGAGAGAACCUCCCUACAUGCAUAUAUAGGCAUCAAACUCCCUCUGUACCUGAACUAUAUUUUUGUUUGAUAUAUAUUAUGAACUCCUCUCGUCGAUGUACAUGAACCUGCUGUGCAGAGAGAUGAAAUGUAGUACAUCAGUCUAGCUUCAUUCAGCUAGAGAGAAACAUGAAAAAAUGUUCAGUUUUUUAGACGGCUUUCCUCUUUUUCUUUGUCCAAUCUGCGCCACGACUGCCACCAUCCUGCAUGCAAGCUUAAAAUUAAUUGAAGCCACCAAACAUGCACUUUCAUGAGACUUUGCUACUAUAAGUCAGCGAACAUAUCUUUUAGUAUUAAACCAAAGGCACACUUAUUACCCAGCACUCUUGUUCAGUUCAGAGCAUCAUCAAUAAGAUAAAGAUACGAAAACAUUAAGCCAAUAUAGAACAACUGGAUUGAUUUGAUUCAAAUUUUUACUUUCAAUGCAUUGUAGGCAACAGCCGAUCCAAGUCAGAACUGAUGUGAUUUAUUCCAUCGAACUGAUAUGAAAGUUUAUCUAUACUGUUCUGUUUUUUAACACACAUGUUUUGAACUAUUCCCGCUUUUUUCAUUAUGAAUUGAUGACAUAACACAUGUUGAACUGUUACACAAGAGCAAAUUCAGAAAUACAUAACAAUGGUGUACUCAAAAUAUGUGCAUUUUAAGGAACAAAACUUUCUGAACCUUCUAUACGAAAAACUUCAACUAUCAGUCCAAAGAGAUUUGAAGUUAAACAAUCAUUUCCCUUACUGAGUGUUAAGGAAAACGAAACCAGAGAUGACCUCGCCGGCAGUAGGAGUAGCGAUGGCUGCCAAGGCGACGCGUUGGUACAUGUACUAAACAUCUGCUCAAACCUGUUGUAACAUCUACUUCAAGCUUUUUCUAAAUCAUUGUUGGGAGUAGAGGGUUUUAAAAGAAAAUACAGAGUGCCAAAGAAAGAAAGGAACAACCUAUUUAUCUAAAGGACUGUGAUAUUUGGCACACGUGUGCCAUAUAAGGAAAACUGCCACACCUCUAUUUCUUUCAUUUUAAAGUACCAUACGAUCCCUCGUUCUUUGACCCCGCCUCUUCCCAAAUUACCCCGCAGGCUCGCCUGAGAAACCCGCUUCUCCCGCACAUCUCGGGAGCUUACCCCCGAGAAAACUGCCACUUCUUCACGUCUACCACAUGAUCUCUCCUCAGGACAAAGUUACCAUGAUAUUCAUAUGAAAGUUAUUAGGCCUGUGUUGCAUAGCUUACCGUACUAUUUACAUGGAACGUAUCAGGUACUAUGCUUCAACAACUAGACCCUUUCAAAGUUACCACUAUGUUUUGUACACAAGUUAUAAGGUCUUCGAUGUGCAAAAUACCGUGGUACUUACACAUAAGUUAUCAGGGUAUAUGUACAUCAACCUCCCCCCGGUCAAAGUUACCAUGGGGGAUUGUACAUGAGUUACCAGGUCUACGGUUCGUAUAUUAUCAUGGUACUUGCACCUAAAAACCUGGGUGUGUUUCGGUAGCUUUUCUCAUAGGUCAAAAAUUACCAUGAUGUUUUUGCGUAACUUAACAUGCCUAUAGCACGUGUGCCCCUCGUGACACUAAACAUUAUGUGACUUUCUCGUGGCACGCCAUGUGUUGUGUUCAUCCAAGAGGCCCACGCGCGAGGCAAGUGUAUUUUUUUAACAACUUAUAUAUUUUCCUUUGGUAAAAAAGUUAUCAUCAUGUUUAUAUUGCAAGUUAUCGGUUAUGCGGUGCUUAUAUUAUCAUGUUAUUUACACAAAAAUUAUUGGGGAUGUUUUGAACAACUUUUUCCCGAGGUAAAAAGUUAUCAUGGUGAUUCUAGGUAACCUAUCAAGCCCGUAGUGCUUAAAAUAUCAUGCUAUUUACAUAAAAUUUAUCAAGGAUAUGUUUCAGCAACAAAUUCCACCCCCCCAUGGGUCAAAAAUUUAUCAUGGUGUUUAGUUAUCGCAGUGCAUAUGUUUUCAUACUAUUUACACAUAAAAAUGCCAGGGGAGGGAGGUAUACUACCGUGCUAUUUACACAGAAGUUACCGGAGUAUCUUAAAAAAAUUCCCUACGGUCAAAGUUACCAUGGUGCUUCUACCUCCGUUAUUAGAUGUGCGCUGCGUAUAUUACCAUCUAUUUACACAUAAACUAUCAGGUAUCUUUUCACAUUUGUUGUCCCCAAUGGUUAAAGUUACCACGAUGUUUGUAUCUAAAUUAUCAGGUCUAUGGCGUGAAUGUUAUCGUACUAUUUACAGAAAUUACCGGAGGGCGGGUUCAACAAAUUUAUUCACAAUGAUCAAAGUUACCACGAUGCUUGAAACAAAAAGUUGCUAAAGUAUUAAAGGCAAAAACAUGUCAAAAACAGUAUUACCCUUAGAAUGUUCAACAAUGAGUAUCAUAGGUGAGGUGGUUAGCUCCCUUUGUUAAUUACCUGCAGACCAGAGAUCAAAUCCUAGUCUAAGCAUUAUUUUUGCUCAAAAUUGAGAAGGCAUGUGGGGCCAUAAAUGACGAUUACGAAAAUUAGGAAGGCACAAGCGGGAGAGAAUUGAUGACAUUGGAUGCGUGUGGCAGUUUCGCAAUCUGCCACACGGUUGCCAUAUACAUAUUUCGUUAUCUAAAUAGUGUGUGGAAUUGUUUAUAUGGAUGAACAAAACAUUACUUGAAGUAGAGGUUCUGCCAAAAGAAAGAAAGAGCAUCUUGCAGGUUCAAGUUUGAGUAGUUGAGCCAGACAAUUUAUCGUAGGUGUUGUAUGUAAUAAUAAUUUAAUUAUUUUCAUAGGAGUACGACUCAUAGUAUCGGCAUGGAGGUCGUGAACAAAAGCAGAAGUAUCCUUAAUUUUUUAUUAGUGACUGUAAUUUUCCUUAUAAAGAACAUACUACUCUCGUGUAAACCCAUCCCUCUACAUAUGUACUGUCAGUUUUUUGCAAAUCGAACAAAUUGCGUAUGUAGCAAGUGCUAGUAUCUUGAAAUGCAGUUAUGCGUAUGCCCCUAAGAGUAGGUGAAUAGAAAACUCGAACAAAAAAUAGCUUUCUCCUAAUAGUAAUCGUGCUAGAACUCAUUCAAAGCUGAAGUGAACUAUAAUUAUAACCAGCCUUUGUCAAUAGAAGUCCUACUAAUCACAAAUUCCUCUAAUUUCCUCCAGACUCAAGAUCAAGAUGGUGGACAGUGCACGGAUAUUACAAAAUUAACAAUUCACAAUACGAAUUAAGUAUCACAAAUUGCAAGGCACAAGUUUUGAGCACAUACAAUCUUUCAUUGGUAGGCAGCACUACAACUUUGGAGGUCAACACAUUAGGCAAACUCUUUGGAAUUAAGAUAGUGAAAAGUAAAUGUAUGCGAAAGCAAGCUUCCAUUCGGUAAACCAUCAAGCCCAGAUUGCUGCACUCCGAAUUUCCUUUAGACUCAUACGCUACCUUCAGAUCAGCAAGCUUUAUGUUCAGCAAGUGUGUAACAAAACAAGAAUUGAACUGGAAUAGAAUUUGAAAUUUGAACUGAAAUACAAUACGAAAACUAAACUGAGUGUACUUUCAGAUUUUCACAUGGGCAUUAGUGCAUGAAGCAGCAAUGAAAUUGAACUGAAACAAAUUUCAGUUCAGCAAACUUAUAUGAAGUUAUAUGAAGCAUGCUUGAAUGCGUUGACCCGAAGCAUGCUUGUAGGAGAGUAGUGGCACUGGAAGGGAGCCUUUUGCUGAACUUAUAUGAAGUUAUAUGAACUUGUCUAACUUAUAUGGAACUUAUAUGAAGCCUUUUGCUGAACUUAUAUGAAGUUGACCAGACAAGAUGAUACCGGGGCGCAUCAGAAUAUAGGAGAGUGGUGAUGCAAGUCAGUCACCGGCUGGAUAAUGAAGCGGGUGGUAUGCGGCAUGGAGACAACCAGAAAAUGGGACAUCCAGGGGUAGGGAGCGUCGUCGCUGAAGAUCAGAGAGUGUGGAGCGCAGGCGUGCGGUGUCCCCCGGCCGGCAACGGAGACGAAGGAGAUCGGGGAUAGUGCACUUUUUUCGUCAGCCUGCAAGAUGCUCAAGGACCAGGACAACAUGUAGUUUCAGAAUUACAGAUUGUGGUCAGCUAUAGGAUGUUUCUGGGACCAUGUUUUAGCUACGAGAGAGCAACAACAUCACAUCAUGAGAGAGAGGAUGCAGCAUCAAAAAUUCAGGAGAAAGAUCAGAGCAGAGCAGAAGUAAAUAUGUUUUGAGGAGAUGAACUGACCAGGAUUUAAAUGAACUCUCACUAGCAGUAAUUUUUGUACUUCGCAUGUAGUACUACAUGGACUUGCUGUAAAAUACAUGGACCAUGUAGUAAUUUUGAAGUUAAUUAUAUGAUCAUCUCAGGGAGCUCAAGUUGUACUGAAAGCUCAAGUUGGACUGAAACUCACUCGAUAACUAAAACUCCUAGGGCGAGGGGUGGGAUCCAGGGUGCUGCUAGCAAUGAAUGGCCUGGGGUGGUGGCGUUGAACGGCCUGGAGUGGUGGCUGUGAACAGCCAGGGUGCUCCGGCGGCAGAGCCCCACCGGAGAUGGUGAUGCAAGCAGGAGGUCGGGAAGCAGUGGUGCCGGUGGUCGGGGUUGUCCAAUGCACACGGCACACCAGUACAGGAAGUUGAUUCAUCACCCAUCCACAGUUUUUUUCCUUUUGGGAAUCCAUUGAACUGAAAAAAGCUACAUGUGAGCUGAAAGUAUGAAAAUAACACAUCUUUGAAAGAAUAAAGAACUAGCUUUAACUUAUCUAUGAAAGAAUACACCUCCGAGGAACUAGCUUUGAACAUAUCUCUGAAAGAAUAGAGAGCAUGCAAAGUUCAAGGAAAGAAUAAGCAAAAUGGCACACUAGUACGCAGUAGUACGAGUCCAGUCAUGUACGUGCUAGUAUUAGAUUUGAAUAGUAGCUAGAAUUGAAGUUCAGGUAACCAUGGCACACACAUCAUACAGUUUUAGUCAUGUAUGCACACACACUGUAAUAGUAGCUGCAAUUAAAGUUCAAAUAACCACGGCACCCAUAACAGAACAAGAAUCAGUCUAGCAGCUAGGCAAGCAAGCUUCAUCAGCAUGAAUACACAUCAGCGGCAAGCUAGAACACGCUAGUAGGCUGUAGAAGUCUCCUUGUAAUUUUUCAAACAGAAGUGCUUUAGUUCAGUUCAGUAGUAAGGCAUGGAAAAAGAAAAGCAAUGGAAUAAACUAUAACCGAGCCAAAUAUGUAAUUUCAACAACCUAGACCUCAUUGCUUGACUUCAGUAGUAAUACAUGAUCAUCAGUUCAAUAUAAACAGACUGAUGUUAACAUCAUCGUACAUCCAUUGCCGGUUCAUCUGCGUGCAUUAUAUAUAAUUAAGUGUGUCAAAAACCAUUACAGAAUAGCAUGAAUACAAAAGACCAAAUUAAUAGAAGUUCAUCAUCACAUUAAAACCAAAGUACAGUAGUGAUCAAAUGUUGUUACUGAAAAAAUAAAUACAUAAAGUUCAUACAUAUAUAGUUCUCAUUGAACAACAUAUAUAUAGCUCUCUAGAGCAUCUAAUUAAACCAUACAUUGAAACAAUGUAAAAACAUUUCAAUGCAACAACAAAUGCGAUCAUAAUCGCAACUAAGGUAACAAUUGAUCCAACGGCAUAAUGAUGCCAAGCCUCGGUAUGAAUGGCAUAUUUUCUAAUCUUUCUAAUCUUCAAGCGCAUUGCAUCCAUCUUGAUCUUGUGAUCAUUGACGACAUCCGCAACAUGCAACUCCAAUCCCAUCUUCUCCUCCUUAAUUCUUUUCAAUUUUUUCUUCAGGUAAUUGUUUUCUUCUUCAACUAAAUUUAACCUCUCAACAAUAGGGUCGGUUGGAAUUUCCGGUUCACAUACCUCCUUGAUGAAAACAUCUAUGUCAUGUUGGUCGGCAUAAUUUUCAUACACACUAAAUGAACAAAAUAGUUAUAAAAUAUAAUAUAUACCACAUCGGAAUCAUAGACAGGACGAGGGCCGACGGAGGCGGAUACCAAAACCAUCGCACUAUAUGAUAACAAAAAAUAAUAAAAGUAAUAAAAUUAUACAAGUAUCUAUCUAAAUCAUACAAGUAAGAACUUUUUUCUUUUAGAAGAUAAGAACAAGAGGCUCACCACGGUGGUGCCAGCGACGAGAUCGGCGCGGGCGAUCGACAGCGGUGAGGACGGGGACGGGACAGGAUGGACCGCCAAACCUAGACAAAUCUUAAGGAAAAUGGAGUUUGGACAAGGAGCUUCGAGAGGAGAAAGCUUAAGUAUGUCUCGGACAUUUCACCGAACACCUCAUGUGCAUAGGAGGUGAGCUAGAGCACCACAAAGCUCUCCCACGGCCGGCCAAAAAAUAGAGCAAUGCACUGCUCUGCUCGCGGGCAGGGGGAUAUAUAGGCCUCUCUUUAGUCCCGAUUUGUGGCUAGAACCGGGACUAAAGGACCCCAUUUGGUCCCGAUUCCAACCACCAACCGGGAUUAAAGGUUGUGGGCCAGGAGCGAGGCCCAUUUGUCCUGGUUCGUGUCUGGAAGCGUGACCAAAGGGGUCAGACGAAUCGGGACCAAUGGCCCCCGAGGCCCUGCUGACGCCCUGGCUUUAUGAACCGAGAUUGAUGCACCCAUUAGUCUCGGUUCAUAGGGAAACCGGGAUUAAUGCCCUUUUCAGACCUGGACCAAAGCCCUAUUUUCUACUAGUGUUGUAGGCCUCGCUCACAUGAAGUAAGAACGGUCGGUGACGAUGCCUCAUAAAUCCAUGUGGUGCAAUCAUAGUUGGUGGUGCAGGGGAGGAAGUAACCUUCUUUGAUGGGGAUUCCAUCGCACGCUUGUUCGUCAUGUAGACGCGUCCUCUUAAUUUCUGUUCAGCUUUACAGGCAAGACGAAACAAAUGAUCGAUAGAAUAUAGUCUUCAUGCAUUAUUAUGUCUUGUAUAUCAUGGUUUAAACCUUUCCAAAAUCGAUUCAGAAAAUCUUCUUCGCAUUCUUGUAAGCCAGAACGAAACAAAGCAAUACACAAAUUGUCAUAAUAUUCUUCAACAAUGAUAUUGUCUUGUUCUAAACGUUUUAAUUUUCAAAGCAAAUCACUGGCAUGAUAUGAAGAACAAAUCGGUCUCGCAUAACAAGUUUUAAAUCUUUCCAAGUAGAAGGCCUAUUAUCAAUAUUUUUCCUGCAAUAAUUUCUCCACCAAACUGAAGCAAAACCUAAAAACAUCUUAGUGACAACAUUUAUUUUCUUAUGCUUGGGAAGUUCAUGGCUAGCAAAUAUUUCUUCUACCUCAAUUUCCCAAUCAAUAUAUGAAUCAGGGUCAUAUUUACCCUUAAAAUUUGGCAAAGAGGUAACAUGAUGAUGUGUGUUUCUACCAUGAUGUAUAUCAUGUGACGAUCGUCGUACCUUUUGUGGUGGGAAAGAGUGAUCUUUAUCAAUAUAUGGCAAGUCAUCUCCCACAAUAGAUGCACCCCAACUGUCAACCGCUCUAGAAUCUGCCAUGGUUAGUACCACACAAAAACAAAAAUAAUAAGUAUAAUGUUUCUAUAGUACUACUUGGAGGUGGCAGAAAAAUUCUCUCAACACUCUAGCAAUUACCAAGCUCUUACCAGAUCUUACCGUGCUGCAGUGGUUGUCGGCCUUUGGCGCCUUCAAAAGUUAUCAAAGUUGGAUAUAGUGAUUGCCAAAUCACCGAACAAGGUACAAUAUAGAAAGUGGAGCUUGGUGAAGGUUUUCUCAACUCACAAUAUCGGUGGCACAAUUUUGCUAAAAGUAAUGCAAGAUGAAUAAUUGCUCAAACUCCUAACUAGUGCUGAUAGUCGACUAGUAAGAGAUAAAAUAAUCUAAGCCCAGAUACUGAAUCAAGCGAGAGGGAACUGACGAAAAUAUAAUAGCUCCAAGUAGCUAGAUAUAAGUGAGGUAUGAACGUAGUGUAUGGCAACCAAGAGCAGACAAAAAAAUCCAACACUUAUCACUUAUAUGAAUAGAGCAGGCUGAACAGCAAAAGAGAUUUUUCAAAAGAUGCUAGCUGGCCAAAACUUUGCAUCAAAUUUUUUUAUUCUUUUUUCUGAAUUUUCCUUUUUCUUCAACUUUCAGGCCGGCCGCUAGUAGAAGUCACGGACACAAAUAUCUGACCAAACAGGUAUGAAGGGGUGGCCGGGGCACAUCUGGUGUAGCCCAUUGGCGCUGUCCAGCGGUAAAAGAUCUCAUGCCAUUGCUGAAAUUCACGUCCCCCACCCAGGGCAUUUUGGUCAUUUUGCAUCUAUGCCCUUUUCCGAUUCGCUGCAUCCUCCCCCAAUGAGUGCCUCCCUCAUUUUUCUAUCCCUCACAUCUCUCUCGGGAGAGAGUCGCUGCCGCUAGUCAUCCUCCCCGUCUGCCGCCGCUGCCGCCAACCAUCCGCAGCCGCGCCACCAUCCCCUCCCCGUUCCUCUCCCGUAGCUGAGCCAGCCAUGGCCAGGAAGAAGUGCAAGUCCUCUUCCUUCCUCCCUCACCCCUGAUCUGAAUCCUCUCCCGGAACCCCAGCCAGCCGCACGCAUCCCAUAUGGCGCCGCCCAGCUCGCAGCCCUCGGCCGCCGAGCCAUCGCGAGGCUCCUCGCGCAAGCGCACGACCUCCUCAAAGGCUGCGCCCGAGGCCGACCUGGAGUUCACCGUCACCAAGGAAAGGUAAGGGGAGGGGAGGGGAUGGAAGGGAUCGAGCGACCAGGUGAGGAAGCGCCCAGAUCCACAGGGCCAUCGACACUUCGUCAUCGACCUCAUCCGCGACCGUCCUCGAGGUCGGCCAUGGUGGUCCGGCCGGCAACAGCCAUGGAAGGAGAGGCCCGAAUCCCUGGCCCUCCAAGUACGCGCCUGCUGCAGGCCAUCUCCGGCGAGCUCAUCCACAGAUCUCCAACUAUGGUGCGUGCGCAUGAUACCUAAACCCCUUGUCUUGUCGGUUUCUUCAUCUUCCCUCCUUGUGAUUCCUUGGUUUGUUUUGUGCGCAGUUGCUCCGAUCUGGAAGAGGUGGUGGAGCUUUUGUUGUUGCUGCUGUAGGUGGACGAGGCACCACCCUCUCUUUCUACUUCUGGACACAACCUGGUGGUGAUUGCAAAUUUCAGUGUUAAAAAAUUCAGUUCAAUUCAGUCAUGUUCUUUUUCUUUUGUGGGGAAAUUCAGUCACAUUCAAUGUUCAACUUUUAGAGUUAACAAACUGUUGUUAUGACCACUAUGGUUUAGAUGUUCAGAAAUUCAGACAAAUGGUAUGAUGAAAUGAGCCACCUUUUAACCCCCUACUAAACCUACCGUGAACGUGAGAGAGCCAAUGCAGGGAGGUGUGGACAUUUUACCAUGUUCAUAGGAAGAAAUCAACAUAAAAUACACAGCUUGUAGAUGAUUCGUCAACCACCAUCAAACACGACUUGUAACUUUCUGGACUAAACUGAACCGUGCAAUUGACUCAAAAUAAAACUAAACCGUGCAAUUGACUCAAAAAUAAAUAGUAAAUAUACUUUGGUUGUGUCUGCAGAAUUGCAUUAUGGAAAGAUGUGUGUGAGGUUACCCCAUCGCCACUGGUUCCAACUUUGUCCAUCAUGUCGCUCUGAUGAGAAGACCUUGUCCAUGUUUCAUUAAUAGGGCAGAGUGCUGCUGAAGUAUCUAUGUUGAACAAUUAUAACAGUACCAAGUAAGUUUGCUCCAAUUGCAUUUGAUGCAGAAGGCACAACACCGCCAUCAUGCGUCAGGUUCAGUAGAAGGCACGACACCGCCACGCUCUCCUCCACUACAAUGCCAUGCACCCGGUAAUUAAACAUGCUUUCUCUUCAUUCNNNNNNNNNNNNNNNNNNNNNNNNNNNNNNNNNNNNNNNNNNNNNNNNNNNNNNNNNNNNNNNNNNNNNNNNNNNNNNNNNNNNNNNNNNNNNNNNNNNNNNNNNNNNNNNNNNNNNNNNNNNNNNNNNNNNNNNNNNNNNNNNNNNNNNNNNNNNNNNNNNNNNNNNNNNNNNNNNNNNNNNNNNNNNNNNNNNNNNNNNNNNNNNNNNNNNNNNNNNNNNNNNNNNNNNNNNNNNNNNNNNNNNNNNNNNNNNNNNNNNNNNNNNNNNNNNNNCAAGAUCUCAAAGAGGUGCCGGCGAACCCAGGCCACACCCAACGCGCUGGGGGGCUGUUGGGGGCGCCAGCGGAAGCAACAGCCAAUCAUAUUCCUCCAUGUAUCAUUUUUUCUGGUCCACUCAUUCACUUUUUGCCUGGCGACUGUCCUGGGGGCACCAACGGCUGGGAAACCGUCCUUGUGUUUCAUUCGGCGAAGGUGUUUUGCCCCCCAGGACGUGCUAUAUUUGGCCCGACGAUUGUCCUGGGGGCUCCAACGGUUGGAGAUGCUCUAAUUCAUUGUAUUUGCAUGUUUCCAGCAGCCAUGUAUCAAAAAAAGCUUCAGCUUUGGGUUGUUGAUUUAGCAGCAUCAAUCAUUAAUUGUUCUGCUAUAUAUGUUCUUAACCAUGACAACCUGAUUAGGCUCUUAGUUUAUUAUGGUCUUUGUUCUGGGUGGAUCUCUGACUAUUCUGGGUGGGCAUGAAUCUCUUCUUUGUUUCUUCAUCUCCUCUUAUUCUGAUUCCUGCAUUUGUUUUAUGUGAAGGUUGCUCCGCUGAGGACAAGCUGCUUCUGCAGGUGGACGGGCCCUCAAGGCUGCUCUGCCUAUUCCUCCUGCUACCCCCACACGUGGUGAGCCCCAUCCGUUCUCGAGCUACCCCUGCAAAUCUGAUGUGAUGUGCACAAAAUACUUGCAAUUGUUCUCGACACAGGAGCAUGUCAUGUAUUGUUCUAUUUGAAUGUGCAAUUUCAUUGCUUCUGUGAUGUUUGAUGCUUGCUUCACAAGAGGGAAAUCAUGGAUAUAAACUGUGCUUCCUUUCAAGUUGAAUAGUAAUGAUCACCAUUUGGUUCCAUUUUCUCCUCUGCAUCCAGUGUUCACUCUCUCAUAGAUGUCCAUAUAUACAUAGUUCUGAUCUCCUUUUUUCUGCGGCUCCAUACAGCAAACACAAAGCCGUCGAUGCAUUGAGGGCUCAAUGUCGUCUCCGCCGGCUGAGCGGCAAGCCGGGGUUGGGCCUGCACACCGUCUAUCAGCACCCUCCCGUGUCUCCAUUCACGGAUCUGCAGGUCAACCCCUCUUCUCCUCCUAUCCACGCAUCUUCUUUUCCAGAGCUAGGUGUAUGGUUGCAUGGCAAUUUGUGUUUAGGGGCUCACCAUGUUCUGCUUGCCCUGGUUGGCCAAUGAGGCUUUCCUUUUCUUGUAAAGGCCAAAUGUACAAUUCUCUAUGCUUUAUAUUUUUGUAGUUCCUUUGUUUCCAUGCUAGUUUUUUGAUGGGGUGUAAAUAUAUGCUUUUUUGUUCCUUGUCUGGAUUCAGGUAGGGCCUAACAUUAUUGUUCCUUUGUGCAUGGAAAUGUUGGUGGUUUUGUUCCUUUGUGUAUGGAAGGGGGCCUUGAUUAGAAUUUUUAACGUUUGAGUUGUAAUUAGUGUUUUUGUUACACAUGAAAACAUAUGGUUGUUUGUCCAAUCACAUAUGAAAAAGAGAUGAUUGUUUGUCCAACAAUUUUCUUUCUCUGUGAUAGUUUUACUAGAAAUAAAGCAUAGUCACUAUUACAUCCUAUUUUAUAUCUUGUUGUGUCGUGAUAUCUAUAUAGACUCUGUCUACGUCCUUUUGACAUUCCAAGUUUUGUUUUUCUAUGGCUCAAUUAGUUACCCCGUAUCAAGAGAAAUUUAACUGGUAUUUGCGGUAGAGUUAGCUGAAUUCAUGAAGCAAUGAUUUAGUUAUUAUUAAAGCUGAAACACAACAUGUUUUGACAAAUGCGUUCUAAGUAAAGCCUCCAACUAACAUAACCAAAAACAUAUUCUUUAGGUUUAUCAUCUAUUGAAGUAUUAUGUAGAAUUUUAAAUCAUACGAGGCAAAGCAAAUGAGCUCUAUGCACUUUCCAUGUAGCACAAAACAAAAAUAAUCAUGUAUAUUUUGGAUGCACCUAGAUAUACUCAUCAGCAAGGCUGAGGUUAUAGGGCAGGGCACUCACCCACAUUGUCGACAUCUCCGUCACUAUGAUCACCCACAUGAUGGACAAUUCCCUUCUUUCUUUUCUCUGUGGCUAUUGACACUUAAUGCUAUUACUGUGUGCAUAUAUGUACUGUGAUCCAUUCUCAUUCUUCAUAUCUUGAGAAACUAUCUCAAGAUACUCGCAUUUGUGUUUUGAAGAAAGCCUAUUCUAUGAUUAAUAUAUCAAGUAUGGAUGGCGCGAUAUCACCUCUCUUUAUGAUGAUGUUCUUACAGAAUAUAGGUUUUAUGGUAACACGUCUUAGCCAACACCUAUACUGAUGCUCAGACCAGAUGAUUAUAGGCUCUCCUUGCUAUUUUUCUUGAGGUGUGUACAUCUAUCUAGACAAUUUAAUUAAAAUAUAUAUUCCAUACAAACCAUCAAUACAUGUUAGUUGACUUUGAAACUAAUCAGUAAAAAGGUUGUCCCUUUCGCAUUUUAUGGACAUAAAGAUUUGGUGUUGACUGUCGAUCUUUAGUUAACACAUGACCUUACAACCGUAGGGAGUGGGAAAAAACUUAUAUGUUUGGCACAUUUGAAGAACAUAUCAUAGUAACGAAGUUUUGGUAAACAAUGUCCUAGAUCUCAACCAUAUAGAAAUACUAAAUAUAUGUUUAUUUGUAUAUGGAUUAAUUAUACAGACUUAUAAAACCUUGUGCAGGGCACAUAAAAGAAAUUUGAAAUAACUAUUAUUUCAAUAUUUGCUUUUUCAGUUGAGCAUAAUAGUUUAUAGCCUGAUAGGCUUGGACAUAAUUGUCUACAUGUACUGCUCAGUAGGCGACAUCCUUUGGGAAAUUGAGGAUGUCCUCGUGCAUUUUCUAAAUACAAUUGGGGCAUAUCUGAGGAAUGAAGGGAGGAAUAAUCUCGUGGGAGAGUUCGGUGCAGAGGAAGAAGAACAAGAUAUUAUUUAUUUCUUGUGUACAGUCAAGCUUGUGCAUUGUCCCACUGUAAGUUAUUUCAACAAUAGUAGUAACUGUUAUCUCUGGCCAUCUGUUGCGACAUUUUCUUUAACCACCAAUGCAUAUUUAUUUUCUUGUUAAUAACUCUCAUAAUUGCCUGCUACUGUUUCAGUUCUGGGGCCAGGCAACCUUGAAUCCAACGUCCACCUGCAGGCUACAUCUCAGGUAGGAUAAAAAGAUUGCAGUGAACUUGAUGGGUAUAUCAUUAUUGUUGCCUCCUAAUUUGUGUGAUGAGCAAAUGUGUAGAUUGUGUGUAAAUCCGAGAUGCCUAAAACGGUUGGGAACUGAACUUGUUACCUCGGUUCACUUUAAUGGCAUGUUAAACUCGAUGCACUUUCUGGACUGUGACAUUUUUCCUGAAAUUUUGGAAGUGACUGCUAAUGUAGUCUAAAUAGAGUGACUGAGUAGUUACUUUCUCACAAGAGUUGACUUCCCGUUAUUGGAGUACUUGCUAAGAUGGAUUGGUGGUUUUUAUGUUAGAUGAAAAAUAUUACAUCAAUCUUUACGGCUUUUUAUGGGCAAGUGAUUCCGACUCCAUAAUAAGGAAUAAUAUAGCCCUAGUGCUGUGAUAAUGUUAAAACAUUUACCUCUUUUAUCGGUUCAUGUUAUGUAUUUGCUGCGAAAAAAUGGUCUUAUAUCAAAUAAUAGCCUAGAGCUUUUGGAGUGUUAUUACUUGUAUUUGUUGCUUGGAUGUAUAAACCUUCAACAGACUGUCAAUUUUGCUUUUAUAUAAUCUGUUUGUUUAAGUCUGCUGCAUAUUGGUCAAAAGCUCAUGCUAAUUGAUGAUGUUAGGUGAUGAUCUUGUAUCUAACAGUGAUUUCUGAAUGCAUGCUAAAGAAAACUCAUGAACAUCAUGGCGCCUUGUUGAUGGGGUGAUCAAUAGCUACUAUAUUGGGACCCUGAACUUAAAUUGUAGGUCUGAUUUUGUUUCGGAGUUCUCCUGCUACCCACAAGCUUAGAUAGUUCUUUUGUUUGUGCAGGGGAAAUUGCAAAGCAUAUUAUGAAUUGUUACAAGAAACUAUUUCUGCUGUUUUGGUGCAAGGACGUUGCUUUUUAGUAUGCUUCCCGUAUCUUGGUAUCUUGGAAUAAUAAACAGAUAGAUGUCGUGUACCAAGAUUGUUCCUUGUUGUUAAGAGGGAUACAAAUAUUAUACAAGAUUUUUUCUGAUGACUCCUAAAGCAUAUUUGGAUAUACAGCAAAGUAUAUUGUCGCUUCCCUGUUAGUAAAACGAUUAUUUUAGAAAUUUGGUUGGCAGCCCCUACAUUUGGCUGAUUGCUAGCUUACUGGAUUACUCAUGUUUGCGGACUCUGGUAACUUAUGCCUACCAAGAACUACAUGAAUUUUGUGUCUUGCUGCAGUGAACAUUACCAAACUAAUUCUAGAGGUGUUAUAAUCAUGUUUUCUUUUGCAUUAUCAACUUUUAACUUUUGUCAUUUGUUAACACAUUCCUUUUGCAUUAUCAACUUUUAACUAUUGUCAUUUGUUAACACGAUUAUUUAGUAUGUUCACUAUGCGAGUACUCCCUCCGUCUGAAAAUACUUGUCAUCAAAAUAGAUAAAAAGGAAUGUAUCUAGAACUAAUAUACAUCUAAAUACAUCCCCUUUUAUUCAUUUCGGUGACAAGUAUUUCCGGACGGAGGGAGUAGUAAUAAUAGGAGCUAUUUAUUUGCCAGAUAACUAACACUAUUCAUAUGGCAUAAGGGUUAGAAAAAGAACUGUAUUCUUGCUGUGUUGAUUUUCGUAUGGCACACUAUGGAUUCUUUGUGUAACACAUAAUGUCGAUCAACAUGUGUUUACAACGCAGGGAGGAGCCGGGCGACAAGGCAGUCAGACCAAACUCUCUUUCCAUAUAUAUAGGUAGUCUGAUGUUAUGCCAUAGCCGAACCAUAUAUGUUUCGUGUACUGCUCUAUCAAUCUGGUCUUUUGGUAUAUUAGACUCUAUCCUUUGUAAUGAACUUAUUGUCAUGGGCGAUCAUUAUGACUGGAUCGUAUGGUAUGAAUCGGGUCUUUAUGCUUUGUGAUGAAAUAUCAUAUUAUCCUGUUCACCAGUUUGGUUUGGUUUUGAGCUAAAACGUAUAAAAAUACAUGGCUUACAACAAUGGAUAUAUGUGAUGAUAUAUUGAGUGAUUAAGCAUAAUUUUAGACUUUCGGUGCUGGACCAAUGGGAUGCAUGGGGUAAUUGAAUGUUUCUUCUUCACUUUUUAUUAUCGGUUGGGAUCAGCACUCUCGCGCGAUCUAGUUAUGAUGAUGCUGCCUAUACAAAGCAAAUCUAUGUGGCUAUAAAGUGGAGCACCAUGGCGAACAAGAAACUGGCGCUUGAGGACAGACAUGAGUGGAACUGAUGUCUGAUGCAACACGGCGUUGCUGUACGCGUCAGGGCAGACAGCAACGACGUGUAACAGAUGGGAUGUCGGAUUGCACGCAAAACAAAGGAAUCCAAUGCAAUUUUGAUAGUUUUUUUUUCAGAUUAUGGACGAGCUUGCGGCGGAAACCAUGGUGGAGAAAAAAAAGUUCGAUCUAGUAGACAAAAAUUUCUCAUACAAAUCUAAACCAGCACUAUUUGUAGGAUGAUGCAACCAAAAAUUCAACUACGCAAGUACUAGAUGCAAAAAUUGCUAACGGCUAAAAAGAUAGGUGCAAAGGAUGAACUAAUCUUUCUUUCUUUUUUGGCUUUUUUUGGGUUAUAGGACAUGAAAAAUAAGCUAAUCUAACAAAACUGUAAAUCUCUCACCGCUGAAAGUGAAAACUGAUACCACUUAUGUGACGGCGGCCCGAUGUUUCGAUGAGAGUGAGGAUAACUAUCAAUUUGAUGGAUUCUGAUCUUGACGCUCCGGCUAUACAAUACCCGACGAUAUGCCUCGACAAUCGCUAAACCAAUCUCCGAUGGUUAUUGACCUUGCCGUAGGCACGGUCAACCUGAACGACGAGGUUUGAGUUCCUGCAAGUAACUAAAGAACCGGCAAGAACAAAGGUGAAUUGCAAUCUGAAAUUGCGAAUGAAAAAUUAAGCACAUGAACUAGAUCAAAAGUUGGAGUUCCACUUUGGAUCUGACAAGGCGGUAGUCCUACACGUCUCAUAGAUGCGAAACUGUAGCAUGGCUAAACAAUACAAUAAAACCCGCGUAAACCCUAGAAUAUGAUGACUAUUUAUUAAAGGCCGGCGUGGAGAAUGCUUCGUCUAUUUUCUUGGAAGUCAAGACGGGCCUGCUAAUUGGCCGGACACACACGCGAUCUGAUUUGAAAAUAAACUUCUCAUAUCAAUCUGGUGGCAAACUGCCUCAUCGGUACUAUAGGCCCAGAUGCGCAACACACAAGGCCAUGCAUGGGCGCAAAACCUAUACGACGCCCUCAGCGUCCGAUACCAUGUUAACGGUACAGGGCACAGAACGUCGUGAGACAGUUCGGUCCAUAUCCGGUGUGGGCAUUAGAGCAUUGAGAGGACCUUUCCCUAGUACGAGAGGACUGGGAAGGACGCACUUCUGGUGUAUCAGUACACCCCCUUGUCACGAUGGGCCGGCCCACAUUCCUUUUUUUCUAUAUUAAAGACGCCGAAAAAACUGAAUGUAAGCACCAUGAUUCAAACCGGCAAUCGACUGGUUCAACACACACCACCUAACCAAUAGGCUACAUGUUGUUGACGUGGUUAGUUAUAGCUUUUCCUUCUUUUCUUCUUUGUACCUUCUUUUUUGUUUUUUUGUUCGAACGGUUUUGUUAGUUUUUAUUAUUUUCCAUCUUAAUUUUUUUCAAUAAUACAACAUUUUUCGUUUCAAUUUCGUGAACUUUUUUAAAAUUCGAUAUUUUUUUUCAAAAUUCAAUGAACUUAUUUUCAAAUUCGAUGAACUUUUUACAAAUUGGAUGAACUUUUUUCAAAUUUGAUGAACCUUUUUUUAAACUCGAUGUUUGUUUUCAAAUUUGCCAACUUUUUUGAAAAUUCAUGUACAAUUAUGAAUUCAUGAAUUUUUUGAUAUUUUUUUAAUUUUGCAAAUUUCCCCUUUUUAGUUUUUUUAAAUAGCAAUGGUUUUUUCGACAAGUGCUUGCAAGAGAAAAAAGGCUAGCAAAGGAGCGAGCAGCGACCGAUUGAGCCAGCAGCAGCGGUCGAGCGAGUAGUCGAGCGAUUAGCAAUCGAGCGAGCAGCGAUCGAGCGAGCCAGCAGCAGCGGCCGAGCGAGCAGUUGAGCGAUUAGCGAUCGAGCGAACAAAUGCAUGUUGAUUCAAUAAUGCUCAAGUGUAAAUAUUCUGUAUUAAACUUCGCAUCUUCACCCGAGGUUUGUGCAUCUCUUCUUUAAUCCUGCAUAUAAAAUAUUGUGUUGUAUUUUUGUUUCGGAUAACAAAAUAAUAAUUCAUAUAAUUUCUAUUAGAAUUCACCUGAUAAUUAUCUUUACGCGCAAUAAUUGUGGUUAUAUCCGUACGGGUCAUGUUUAUAUCAGGUAGUUAAUCUUCUUUUUCUUAUCCGCAAGACACUUCUUCACAUGCUCAUCCAAGAGGGUUUCGGCUGCCAACAUGAUCAUCGCAUCCACCACGUCCUGUGAGAUUCGCAACCUCUCCUUCUCAAGCUCUAUGUCGCCAAAUGUCUUGGCCUUCUCGAGUUCCCAUUUGAUCGCCACCCCUUGGUGGUCCACCAUGUCCGAACCUCCUUGCGCCGCCGCCGCCUCCCUCUCUCGCUGCAGGCGUUGCCGCAACUUCUGGGCGGCGUCCUCCGCCUUGCAAGUCAGAGCCGACGAAGGGACGCCGACGGACAAGGCGGACGGCGUCUUUGUCGCGGUGGUGGAUCGGGACCGGUGGUGAGGAUUGGGAGCAAGGGUGGAGGACGGCGAGGGUUCGGGCGCGGGAAAAGUUGGAGGGCGGCGGGAGGAGGAGAAAGGGUUUGGUGCAUUUGGCACAAUUUUCAAUGGGGUCGGGCUGACGGGUCCGACGUGGCGGGCGCGCCCGGGCGCCCCAUAUUUGGGCUAGAUAUGAGGGGUGCCGGUCAGCCCAGGCGUUCGAGGCCCGUUUAAGGAGCCCGUCUGGAUCGAAAAAUCGUGACCGGGUGGCCCACCCGGGUGUAUGAGCCAGGCUUGAGGUGCCCGACUGUAGAUGCUCUAAUCAUCUAGAUCUGACGCUCAAAGGCUCCACCCUCCCCCACGACUUGGGUUCGAGCGCCUCCCCAAAACUUCGUCGGGAUCCGCCACAACCGGCAACGGCGAGGCCAGAGGUGGCCGGAUCCGGCACAGGUUGGUCUCUCCCCUCCUUCUUCGCCCACCCUCUCCUCCUUACCUCACGCCACUUGUCUUCCCUUUUUUGCAGGUCGCCAUGGCGCGGACGGCGAUGACGGCAGGAGGGGCACACACAUCCGUGGAAUGGGACGCCGCCAUGGAGAUGGAGAUCCUUCUUCACACCACGCAGAGGCCCCAUGGAGCCUCCCUCCUUCUUCGGUGACUUCUUCUCAGGCCCCACCACUACCUCUGCCCUCCCCCCUCCUCUACUUUGAGUUGCACCAUGCUUUGUUUCAGAUUCAUCCACCCAUGGGUGAUACAUGGGAAGUUAGGGGUUGCUGCAGUUUGAGGUUAAUCCCUUGAUUGGCUGUUGUUUCGGGUUGAUUAGAUUAGUUAGCUCAGUUGGCUGCUAGACUUUAGGAGUGCAUACAUGGGUAUAACAUGCUCUGCACAUUUAGGAUUGAAGUAUUGUGUUGCAGCACUCAGUGACGUUAAUUUAGGGCAUUUCAGUGUCAGUUCCACUAUAUUUCGGGGGACAUUUAACAGUGCAAUUUCAUGGUUAUUACAGUGUAAUUUCAAGGUUCUUGCAUUCUAAGUUCAGAGAAUUACAAUGUUAGUUUAUGUGAAUUCCCGUGCAUUUUACUGUGUAAUUUAAGUGCAAUGGAAAUUAUAGUGUAAAUUCAGUGUAAUUUACUAUGUAAAUUUACGGAAAUUACACUGUAAUUCGUGUGCAACUUUUAGUGUAAUUUACACUAUAAUUUCAACGGGUUUACAGUAGAGUAAUUUAAGUGUAAUUACAGUGUGCACUUUAGAGCAAUCAUACUAUAUAUUUAGUGAAUUUAAAGUAUCACUCCAUACCUUUCGGGUUUGUCUUUUUUCUCUACAAGUUACUGCUAUACUGUUGAUUGAUUCUACCCUUGCGAAAGAAACUUUGAUGAGCACAUAAUUUUCUACUAUGUAAUUUGAGCAGCUUGGUAACCGUAAUUUUCAGUUUCCUUUGACCCUAGGCCCUUGUGCUUUAGAAUUGCUAUUUUUUGUCAGUGUACAUGCUAGAUCAUGUGGUUUAUGAUACUUCUCUGGUCCUUAUAAACAAAGUGACAUGUUUGUACUGUGGAAUAGAAAGAAUAUUUCAGUGUCUCUCUUUAGGCCUUUUGUCGAAUUGUUAUGUGGUCCAGUGCAGCCUUACGAAACCGGGUUCUAUGCAGUUCAUGUACAGUGCAAAACUCAUUAUUGCAGGUCAGGCCUGUAGCAUGUCUUGGGUCAUUGACAUGCAGGAAAGAAGGAAAAAGGACAUAGAAGUAUCAUUUUGUUAUUGGUCAAGAAAAUUUGAAUAAUGUCCAACUGAUUUCAGUUGAAUGACAAAUAGACAAUCCCUUGUUUAAUCAGUAGAUAUACACCAUUAACUCAAAUAGCAAAGAAAUACUAGUCCAUUUAUAAUCGAUGAUUGCGCAUGAUGCAUCCAUCCAUUCUAUCGGAGAGGCUGUGUUUUUUUUCUUCUUGUGCUAAGGUUGAUAGCAUCACAUAUCUUAUGCUUUUGUUUCUCAAGUAGAGCCUUGAGAUAGAUGUGUCUGCAACCGUCCUCGAAUGGUUGUGCAAUAAUAAUGGUCCUAGCUAAUUACUAGUAUGCACUGCUUAUAAAACAACUUGUUGCUCGUUUCACUUUGAGUAUGCUGUUGCUGCUAAAGUAGCAACAACAACAGCCAUGCUUUGGUUCCCCAAAAUUCAGAUGGCACUGGCAUCUCUACAUACACACACAUAUAUGAAUAUGCACCUCAGUUUGGUUCAGUUUGCAUGUGUACCGUUGCUUUAACUUUGACUGAAACUAUCUUGGUGGCACUUGCAUCAAUGUUGUGCUCUGCCCUUGUAUAUGUCCUUGGAGAAGAUGACCAUUGGACUGUAGGGGACGAACAACCUUGUCCUGCUCGAGGAGGAGGAGGAUGGCCACCCUGAGCUCGAGGACGACACGACAACAGGAGCACUCACCUCCCUACUAAGGUGAAGGUCCGAUCCGCCUGUUUAGAUGGUCUGCUCUUGUCUUGUGAUCUGAGGGGAGAAGAAAGCCAUUGGCCUCAAUUAUAUUUGCAUGUGAGGGGAGCGAUCCUUUUGGUAGAUGCAGAGUAUAGAUUACAUAUUCCACAAAACUCACCACACGAGUAUACUAACUAUAUCCACAAAAUUCACCACACGAGCAUACUACCUAUGUCCAAAUGUGGGUUUGAUACUUUCGACAUGAAACAUGAAUAUCAGGUUGGGAGUUUGGAGUUUAAUCAAAUAACGCAGCAAGGCGAUCAUCGGUAGGGAUGCACCUUUGAGGCGGCAAGGAGGGCUUCUCAAAGGCAGUACACAUGGCUUAUUACUGCUUGUAUGUGAGUACGCAGAUGUGGCGUCUAUGGAUAGAGGGUUAGGGGCGCAACGCAAGCGGCAGUAGGGGAUACACAACCUGAUUUGAUUUGGUCAAUCACGGGAAAUGGGAGAAGGCCUAGGGUGCAAAGUUUAGAUCGGUGGGUUGGUAGCGUUAGGCAUAAUAGAGAUCAAACCUUUUUCAUAGGCGUAUGUAGGUUAUUUCCUUGAAGCAUUUUAUCAAAAUGGUGUAGGCGGGUAAUAUCUCUCAACUUAAAUGUGAAGGGGAUAUAUUAUUUCCUUGUAGAGGCCGAGGAAUACAUGGCGUACCGCUACAUAUGCAACCAUGAUUUUUUGUGGAUGGUUACGAGAGAACCUGAAAGAUACCAUGGACCGAAGCAUGGGCACAUGAAGUUCCUGUUGGGGAACGUAGUAAUUUCAAAAAAAUUCCUACGCACACGCAAGAUCAUGGUGAUGCAUAGCAACGAGAGGAGAGAGUAUGAUCUACGUACCCUUGUAGAUCGACAACGGAAGCGUUAACUUGGUUGAUGUAGUCGUACGUCUUCACGGCCCGGCCGAUCAAGCACCGAAACUACGGCACCUCCGAGAUCUAGCACACAUUCAGCUCGAUGACGAUCCCCGGACUCCGAUCCAGCAAAGUGUCGGGGAAGAGUUCCGUCAGCACGACGGCGUGGUGACGAUAUUGAUGUACUACCGUCGCAGGGCUUCGCCUAAGCACCGCUACAAUAUUAUCGAGGACUAUGGUGGAAGGGGGCACCGCACACGGCUAAGAAUAUGAUCACAUGGAUCAACUUGUGUCUCUAGGGGUGCUCCCUGCCUCCGUAUAUAAAGGCUCAAAGGGGGAGGGGUGGCCGGCCAAGAGGAGGCGCGCCAGGAGGAGUCCUACUCCCUCCAGGAGUAGGACUCCCCCCCUUUCCUAAUUGGAAUAGGAUUCGCGGAGGGGGGAAAGAGGAGAGAGAGGAGGAAGGGGGGGGCGACCCCCUCUCCUUGUCCUAUUUGGACCAAAGGGGGGAGGGGCGCGCGGCCCAUAUCUGGCCACCUCUCCUCUCUUCCACUAAGGCCCACUAAGGCCCAUAUACCUCCCGGGGGGUUCCGGUAACCUCCCGGUAAUCCGGUAAAAUCCCGAUUUCACCCGGAACACUUCCGAUAUCCAAAUAUAGGCUUCCAACAUAUCAAUCUUUAUGUCUCGACCAUUUCGAGACUCCUCGUCAUGUCCGUGAUCACAUCCGGGGCUCCGAACAAACUUCGGUACAUCAAAAUGCAUAAACUCAUAAUAUAACUGUCAUCGAAACCUUAAGCGUGCCGACCCUACGGGUUCGAGAACAAUGUAGACAUGACCGAGACACGUCUCCGGUCAAUAACCAAUAGCGGCACCUGGAUGCUCAUAUUGGAUCCUACAUAUUCUACGAAGAUCUUUUAUCGGUCAGACCGCAUAACAACAUACGUUGUUCCCUUUGUCAUCGGUAUGUUACUUGCCCGAGAUUCGAUCAUCGGUAUCCAAUACCUAGUUCAAUCUCGUUACCGGCAAGUCUCUUUACUCGUUCCGUAAUCCAUCAUCCCGCAACUAACUCAUUAGUCGCAAUGCUUGUAAGGCUUAUGUGAUGUGCAUUACCGAGAGGACCCAGAGAUACCUCUCCGACAAUCGGAGUGACAAAUCCUAAUCUCGAAAUACGCCAACCCAACAUGUACCUUUGGAGACACCUGUAGAGCUCCUUUAUAAUCACCCAGUUACGUUGUGACGUUUGGUAGCAUAAAAAGUGUUCCUCCGGCAAACGGGGGUUGCAUAAUCUCAUAGUCAUAGGAACAUGUAUAAGUCAUGAAGAAAGCAAUAGCAACAUACUAAACGAUCGGGUGCUAAGCUAAAGGAAUGGGUGAUGUCAAUCAGAUCAUUCAUCUAAUGAUGUGAUCCUGUUAAUCAAAUGACAACUCUUUGUCCGUGUUUAGGAAACAUAACCAUCUUUGAUUAACAAGCUAGUCUAGUAGAGGCAUACUAGUGACACUCUGUUUGUCUAUGUAUUCACGCAUGUAUUAUGUUUCCGGUUAAUACAAUUCUAGCAUGAAUAAUAAACUUUUAUCAUGAUAUAUAAGGAAAUAAAUAAUAACUUUAUUAUUGCCUCUAGGGCAUAUUUCCUUCAGUCUCCCACUUGCACUAGAGUCAAUAAUCUAGAUUACACAGUAAUGAUUCUAACACCCAUGGAGCCUUGGUGCUGAUCAUGUUUUGCUCGUGGAAGAGGCUUAGUCAACGGGUCUUCUACAUUCAGAUCCGUAUGUAUCUUGCAAAUCUCUAUGUCUCCCACCUGGACUAGAUCCCGGAUGGAAUUGAAGCGUCUCUUGAUGUGCUUGGUUCUCUUGUGAAAUCUGGAUUCCUUUGCCAAGGCAAUUGCACCAGUAUUGUCACAAAAGAUUUUCAUUGGACCCGAUGCACUAGGUAUGACACCUAGAUCGGAUAUGAACUCCUUCAUCCAGACUCCUUCAUUCGCUGCUUCCGAAGCAGCUAUGUAUUCCGCUUCACAUGUAGAUCCCGCCACGACGCUCUGUUUAGAACUGCACCAACUGACAGCUCCACCAUUUAAUGUAAACACGUAUCCGGUUUGCGAUUUAGAAUCAUCCGGAUUAGUGUCAAAGCUUGCAUCAACGUAACCAUUUACGAUGAGCUCUUUGUCACCUCCAUAUACAAGAAACAUAUCCUUAGUCCUUUUCAGGUACUUCAGGAUGUUCUUGACCGCUGUCCAGUGAUCCACUCCUAGAUUACUUUGGUACCUCCCUGCUAGACUUAUAGCAAUGCACACAUCAGGUCUGGUACACAGCAUUGCAUACAUGAUAGAGCCUAUGGCUGAAGCAUAGGGAACAUCUUUCAUUUUCUCUCUAUCUUCUGCAGUGGUCGGCCAUUGAGUCUGACUCAACUUCACACCUUGUAACACAGGCAAGAACCCUUUCUUUGCUUGAUCCAUUUUGAACUUCUUCAAAAUUUUGUCAAGGUAUGUGCUUUGUGAAAGUCCAAUUAAGCGUCUUGAUCUAUCUCUAUAGAUCUUUAUGCCUAAUAUGUAAGCAGCUUCACCAAGGUCUUUCAUUGAAAAACUCUUAUUCGAGUAUCCCUUUAUGCUAUCCAGAAAUUAUAUAUCAUUUCCAAUCAGUAAUAUGUCAUCCACAUAUAAUAUCAUAAAUGCUACAGAGCUCCCACUAACUUUCUUGUAAAUACAGGCUUCUCCAAAGGUCUGUAUAAAACCAAAUGCUUUGAUCACACUAUCAAAGCGUUUAUUCCAACUCCGAGAGGCUUGCACCAGUCCAUAAAUGGAUCACUGGAGCUUGCACAGUUUGUUAGCUCCCUUUGGAUCGACAAAACCUUCCGGUUGCAUCAUAUAAAACUCUUCUUCCAGAAAUCCAUUCAGGAAUGCAGUUUUGACAUCCAUCUGCCAAAUUUCAUAAUCAUAAAAUGCGGCAAUUGCUAACAUGAUUCGGACAGACUUAAGCAUCGCUACGGGUGAGAAGGUCUCAUCGUAGUCAACCCCUUGAACUUGUCGAAAACCUUUUGCGACAAGUCAAGCUUUGUAGACAGUAAUAUUACCGUCAGCGUCAGUCUUCUUCUUGAAGAUCCAUUUAUUCUCAAUUGCUUGCCGAUCAUCGGGCAAGUCAACCAAAGUCCAUACUUUGUUCUCAUACAUGGAUCCCAUCUCAGAUUUCAUGGCUUCAAGCCAUUUUUCGGAAUCUGGGCUCACCAUCGCUUCUUCAUAGUUCGUAGGUUCAUCAUGAUCUAGUAGCAUGACUUCCAGAACAGGAUUACCGUACCACUCUGGCGCGGAUCUUACUCUGGUUGAUCUACGAGGUUCAGUAGUAUCUUGUUCUGAAGUUUCAUGAUCAUUAUCAUUAGCUUCCUCACUAAUUGGUGUAGGUGUCGCAAAAACAGGUUUCUGUUAUGUGCUACUUUCCAAUAAGGGAGCAGGUACAGUUACCUCGUCAAGUUCUACUUUCCUCCCACUCACUUCUUUCGAGAGAAACUCCUUCUCUAGAAAGGAUCCAUUCUUAGCAACGAAUGUCUUGCCUUCGGAUCUGUGAUAGAAGGUGUACCCAACAGUCUCCUUUGGGUAUCCUAUGAAUACACAUUUCUCCGAUUUCGGUUCGAGCUUAUCAGGUUGAAGCUUUUUCACAUAAGCAUCGCAGCCCCAAACUUUAAGAAACGACAACUUUGGUUUCUUGCCAAACCAUAGUUCAUAAGGUGUCAUCUCAACGGAUUUUGAUGGCGCCCUGUUUAACGUGAAUGCGGCUGUCUCUAAAGCAUAACCCCAAAAUGAUAGCGGUAAAUUUGUAAGAGACAUCAUAGAUCGCACCAUAUCAAGUAAAGUACGAUUACGACAUUCGGACACACCAUUACGCUGAGGUGUUCCGGGUGGCGUGAGUUGCAAAACUAUUCCGCAUUGUUUCAGAUGUAGACCAAACUCGUAACUCAAAUAUUCUCCUCCACGAUCAGAUCGCAGAAACUUUAUUUUCUUGUUACGAUGAUUUUCAACUUCACUCUGAAAUUCUUUGAACUUUUCAAAUGUUUCAGACUUAUGCUUCAUUAAGUAGAUAUACCCAUAUCUGCUUAAAUCAUCUGUGAAGGUGAGAAAAUAACGAUAUCCGCCACGAGCCUCAACAUUCAUCGGACCACAUACAUCUGUAUGUAUGAUUUCCAACAAAUCUGUUGCUCUCUCCAUUGUAUCGGAGAAUGGUGUUUUAGUCAUCUUGCCCAUGAGGCACGGUUCGCAGGUACCAAGUGAUUCAUAAUCAAGAGGUUCCAAAAGUCCAUCUGUAUGGAGUUUCUUCAUGCGCUUUACACCGAUAUGACCUAAACGGCAGUGCCACAAAUGAGUUGCCCUAUCAUUAUCAACUCUGCAUCUUUUGGCUUCAACAUUAUGAAUAUGUGUGUUACUACUAUCGAGAUUCAUCAAAAAUAGACCACUCUUCAAAGGUGCAUGACCAUAAAAGAUAUCACUCAUAUAAAUAGAACAACCAUUAUUCUCUAAUUUAAAUGAAUAACCGUCUCGCAUUAAACAAGAUCCAGAUAUAAUGUUCAUGCUCAAUGCUGGCACCAAAUAACAAUUAUUUAGGUCUAAUACUAAUCCCGAAGGUAGAUGUAGAGGUAGCGUGCCGACCGCGAUCACAUUGACUUUAGAACCAUUUCCCACGCGCAUCGUCACCUCGUCCUUUGCCAGUGUUCGCUUAAUCCGUAGUCCCUGUUUCAAGUUGCAAAUAUUAGCAACAGAACCAGUAUCAAAUACCCAGGUGCUACUGCGAGCUCUAGUAAGGUACACAUCAAUAACAUGUAUAUCACUUAUACCUUUGUUCACCUUGCCAUCCUUCUUAUCCGCCAAAUACUUGGGGCAGUUCCGCUUCUAGUGACCAGUCUGCUUGCAUUAGAAGCACUCAAUUUCAGGCUUAGGUCCAGACUUGGGUUUCUUCUCCUGAUCAACAACUUGCUUGCUUUUCUUCUUGAAGUUCCCCUUCUUCUUCCCUUUGCCCUUUUUCUUGAAACUAGUGGUCUUGUUGACCAUCAACACUUGAUGCUCCUUCUUGAUUUCUACCUCCGCAGCUUUUAGCAUUGCGAAGAGCUCGGGAAUAGUCUUAUUCAUCCCUUGCAUAUUAUAGUUCAUCACAAAGCUCUUGUAGCUUGGUGGCAGUGAUUGGAGAAUUCUGUCAAUGACGCAAUCAUCUGGAAGAUUAACUCCCAUCUGAAUCAAGUGAUUAUUAUACCCAGACAUUUUGAGUAUAUGCUCACUGACAGAACUGUUCUCCUCCAUCUUGCAGCUAUAGAACUUAUUGGAGACUUCAUAUCUCUCAAUCCAGGCAUUUGCUUGAAAUAUUAACUUCAACUCCUGGAACAUCUCAUAUGCUCCAUGACGUUCAAAGCGUCGUUGAAGUCUCUAAGCCGUAAAGCAUGGCACACUGAACUAUCGAGUAGUCAUCAGCUUUGCUCUGCCAGACGUUCAUAACAUCUGGUGUUGCUCCAGCAGCAGGCCUGGCACCCAGCGGUGCUUCCAGGACGUAAUUCUUCUAUGCAGCAAUGAGGAUAAUCCUCAAGUUACGGACCCAGUCCGUGUAAUUGCUACCAUCGUCUUUCAACUUUGCUUUCUCAAGGAACGCAUUAAAAUUUAACGGAACAACAGCACGGGCCAUUUAUCUACAAUUAACAUAAACAAGCAAGAUACUAUCAGGAACUAAGUUCAUGAUAAAUUUAAGUUCAAUUAAUCAUAUUACUCAAGAACUCCCACUUAGAUAGACAUCCCUCUAAUCAUCUAAACCAUAACCGAUCAUCACGUGAAAUGGAGUAGUUUUCAGUGGUGAACAUCGCUAUGUUGAUCAUAUCUACUAUAUGAUUCACGCACGAUCUUUCGAUCUCAGUGUUCCGAGGCCAUAUCUGCAUAUGCUAGGCUCGUCAAGUUUAACCUGAGUAUUCUGCGUGUGCAAAACUGGCUUGCACCCGUUGUAGAUGGACGUAGAGCUUAUCACACCCGAUCAUCACGUGGUGUCUGGGCACAACAAACUUUGGCAACGGUGCAUACUCGGGGAGAACACUUUUAUCUUGAAAUUUAGUGAGAGAUCAUCUUAUAAUGCUACCGUCAAUCAAAGCAAGAUAAGAUGCAUAAAAGAUAAACAUCACAUGCAAUCAAUAUAAGUGAUAUGAUAUGGCCAUCAUCAUCUUGUGCUUGUGAUCUCCAUCCUCGAAGCACCAUCGUGAACACCAUUGUCACCAGCGCGACACCUUGAUCUCCAUCAUAGCAUCAUUGUCAUCUUGCCAAUCUUAUGCUUCUACGACUAUCGCUACCGCUUAGUGAUAAAGUAAAGCAUUACAGGGCGAUUGCGUUGCAUACAAUAAAGCGACAACCAUAUGGCUCCUGCCAGUUGCCGAUAACUCGGUUACAAAACAUGAUCAUCUCAUACAAUAAAAUUUAGCAUCAUGUCUUGACCAUAUCACAUCACAACAUGCCCUGCAAAAACAAGUUAGACGUCCUCUACUUUGUUGUUGCAAGUUUUACGUUGCUGCUGCGGGCUUAAGCAAGAACCAAUCUUACCUACGCAUCAAAACCACAAUGAUAGUUUGUCAAGUUGGUGCUGUUUUAACCUUCGCAAGGACCGGGCGUAGCCACACUCGGUUCAACUAAAGUUGGAGAAACUGCCACCCGCAAGCCACCUAUGUGCAAAGCACGUCGGGAGAACCGGUCUCGCGUAAGCGUACGCGUAAUGUCGGUCUGGGCCGCUUCGUCCAGCAAUACCGCCGAACCAAAGUAUGACAUGUUGGUAAGCAGUAUGACUUAUAUCGCCCACAACUCACUUGUGUUCUACUCGUGCAUAUAACAUCAACAUAUAAAACCUAGGCUCGGAUGCCACUGUUGGGGAACGUAGUAAUUUCAAAAAAAUUCCUACGCACACGCAAGAUCAUGGUGAUGCAUAGCAACGAGAGGGGAGAGUAUGAUCUACGUACCCUUGUAGAUCGACAACGAAAGCGUUAACUUCGUUGAUGUAGUCGUACGUCUUCACGGCCCGACCGAUCAAGCACUGAAACUACGGCACCUCCUAGUUCUAGCACACAUUCAGCUUGAUGAUGAUCCCCGGACUCCGAUCCAGCAAAGUGUCGGGGAAGAGUUCCGUCAGCACGACGGCGUGGUGACGAUCUUGAUGUACUACCGUCGCAGGGCUUCGCCUAAGCACCACUACAAUAUUAUCGAGGACUAUGGUGGAAGGGGGCACCGCACACGGCUAAGAAUAUGAUCACGUGGAUCAACUUGUGUCUCUAGGGGUGCUCCCUGCCUCCGUAUAUAAAGGCUCAAAGAGGGGGGCGGCCGGCCAAGAGGAGGCGCGCCAGGAGGAGUCCUACUCCCUCCGGGAGUAGGACUCCCCCCUUUCCUAAUUGGAAUAGGAUUCGCGGAGGGGGGAAAGAGGAGAGAGAGGAGGAAGGGGGGCCGGCCCCCUCUCCUUGUCCUAUUCGGACCACAGGGGGGAGGGGCGCGCGACCCAUCUCUGGCCACCUCUCCUCUCUUCCACUAAGGCCCACUAAGGCCCAUAUACCUCCCGGGGGGUUCCGGUAACCUCCCGGUAAUCCGGUAAAAUCCCUAUUUCACCCGGAACACUUCCGAUAUCCAAAUAUAGGCUUCCAACAUAUCAAUCUUUAUGUCUCGACCAUUUCGAGACUCCUCGUCAUGUCCGUGAUCACAUCUGGGACUCCGAACAAACUUCGGUACAUCAAAAUGCAUAAACUCAUAAUAUAACUGUCAUCGAAACCUUAAGCGUGCGGACCCUACGGGUUCGAGAACAAUGUAGACAUGAACGAGACACGUCUCCGGUCAAUAACCAAUAGCGGAACCUGGAUGCUCAUAUUGGCUCCUACAUAUUCUACGAAGAUCUUUUAUCAGUCAGACUGCAUAAGAACAUACGUUGUUCCCUUUGUCAUCGGUAUGUUACUUGCCCGAGAUUCGAUCGUCGGUAUCCAAUACCUAGUUCAAUCUCGUUACCGGCAAGUCUCUUUACUCGUUCCGUAAUCCAUCAUCCCGCAACUAACUCAUUAGUCGCAAUGCUUGCAAGGAUUAUGUGAUGUGCAUUACCGAGAGGGCCCAGAGAUACCUCUCCGACAAUCGGAGUGACAAAUCCUAAUCUCGAAAUAUGCCAACCCAACAUGUACCUUUGGAGACACCUAUAGAGCUCCUUUAUAAUCACCCAGUUACGUUGUGGCGCUUGGUAACACACAAAGUGUUCCUCCGGCAAACUGGAGUUGCAUAAUCUCAUAGUCAUAGGAACAUGUAUAAGUCAUGAAGAAAGCAAUAGCAACAUACUAAACGAUCGGGUGCUAAGCUAAUGGAAUGAGUCAUGUCAAUCAGAUCAUUCAUCUAAAGAUGUGAUCCUGUUAAUCAAAUGACAACUCUUUGUCCAUGGUUAGGAAACAUAACCAUCUUUGAUUAACAAGCUAGUCUAGUAGAGGCAUACUAGUGACAAUCUGUUUGUCUAUGUAUUCACACAUGUAUUAUGUUUCCGGUUAAUACAAUUCUAGCAUGAAUAAUAAACUUUUAUCAUGAUAUAUAAGGAAAUAAAUAAUAACUUUAUUAUUGCCUCUAGGGCAUAUUUCCUUCAGUUCCAACACCGAAGGGUAAGGAGACGGGCCCGCGUCAUUUACGUCCGGAAUAUGCGACCUUGAUUCUUUGUCGAUGGUGAUGCCAAGACUAUAGGAUAAGGUGGAUCCGGACACAUGAGCAGAUGAAGUGCCUGACACGAAGUUGGUUAAGGAGCUGGACCCAAGUCAUCUACACCGCAAAUUGGUCGAAGGUGUGCCGUGAAUGAUAGAUGUACUUGAGGGGGGAGAAAGCCUGUGAAAAGAACAUACGGUUGCUCGAUGAUGACACAUGUCUUGAGAGGAUGGCGAGAACCCUAGAUAUGGUUAAGGCACGCCACGAGAACAUCACCCCGGUCGCGAGAUUCUCAGUGGUGUGCGGCAACCGAAGCCAAAAGGGCACCCCCGCAAGACCUUGAAAUGCCAGAGCGGUGGGCGCACAAGCAAUGGUGAGGAAAAUCACAUAAGGUACCAAGCAAGGCCAUCCUGAUCAGGGCUCCAUUGCCAAGCUUAUGUCCACCACUGCGAUUCAGACAAACUUUCAACUGGCGUCUCUGUCUUCUCAAGAUUUCCAUGGUCCCAUCAGGAUGUAUAUAUGUACUUUGUUUAUUUUGAAAAUUAAUAUAUCACCAAAGAAAUUGUAGUACUUGUCAUUCUUUUAAUUACUUAGUAGUUUGCAUGAUAGACUCAAUCUUAUAUUUACUAAUUAGAGGCACCAAAUAAGCGACCACGUUAAUCCUCAAAAACUAAGAAUAUUAUCCAUCCGAUCUCCAUAUUAAGUAUCUGUAGCCGUCCAUUGGACAACUCAAGAGUCCUGGGUUACUAUCCCACGUCAUGCUCCAUGUAAUGUGAAAAAAAAAUCAUCUCCUUGGCCAAAUCCAUCCCACGUCAUGCUCCAUGUAAUGUGAAAAAAAGCAUCUCCCUGGCCAAAUUCUUCCUCCCCUGAUCUAUCAUGUGAGGCACUUGCGCAUCAUCCACAAAUCCCUAGCGCAAAUCCAUCCCACGUCAUGCUCCAUGUAAUGUGAAAAAAAUCAUCUCCCUGGCCAAAUUCUUCCUCCCCCGAUCUAUCAUGUGAGGCACUUGCGCAUCAUCCACAAAUCCCUAGCGCUGCUCUUCCAGGUCGUCCUCCUCCUUCCUAUCUUUUGUUGUCUUAAUGCAAAACGAUUCCGUGAGAUCCUUGUGAUCCUCUUCAUCUUCACGUAGAAAUCUGAACUGUCCCAACCACGCUGCAGAUCUGUGGUCCGUCUUGGACAAAGAGAAGGCCCUUUCAAUCUCCACAGAUGCCAUGCCCCAACCAAACCGCAACCCAUGAUAAACGAUGUUGUUGAGAAGGAGGCGCUACCUAAGUCUGAUCGGACAUAUGCCAUUGUUAGGGAAGCUACAAGUCGAAGAACUAUGGUAGACUGAUUGCGAGUAAUUAAGGAGCUAUCAACGAUCCAGUAGGUUUUUGUUAUUAGGAAUUUUUAUGUAGUGCGACUUGAUCUCAAAGAACAAGUACACCAUUAGAGUUCGUUUUGGAGGAUUUUGAUGAUGUGCGCUUAGUUACAGACUUAUCUAAAUACGUAUAACUAGGAUGGACAAUAUUUGUAGGAGCCAUACAAUCCAAUUAGGGGAUUUAGUUUGUCAAAGAUGUUUCCACAUAUCCCUAGCGCUGCUCUUCUAGGUUGCCCCCUGCUUCCUAUCUACGGUCUUCAAGUAAAGCGAUUUAAUGAGUCUCUUGCUGCAGAAAUUUCAACUGCCACAAGAAGGCUGCAGACCUGCGGUUCAUCUUGGCUGAGGUGUCAUACAAUCCAGUUAAGGGAUUCCAUUCAUUGAAGAUGUGGCUGUACUUUCGCACAACAAACUCAAGCACAUCUUCUUAUGUUCUUAGAAACUAGAUGAGUUGUUUUGGACUUUCUUUGGUCUACUCCUCUAUGCUUCUUAUUGGGAAAGUUAGUAUGCAAAAGUUAUGCCCAUCUUCUUAAAUUCGGAUGUAACUUUUCGAGUAGAUGAUUUUUCAUAUAAAAAACUUUUUCAUCCGAGUUAGUAUGCAAAAGUUAUGCCCAUUUUUACAAAUUUCAGAGAGAUUUUGCAAAUAAAGUGAAAAUUCAGAUUUGCAAAUUUUCCCAACAAGUAGACCACAUAUCACAUGGGAAACUUAUUUUCUUUUAUUUUUUUUGACAUUUCCAUCAUUUUCUUUUAUUUUUUUAAAACUGAAAAGGCGAUCCACAUGGGGGGGGGUAGAGUUUGAAAAUGGGACCUUUAGUACUGGUUCGUGGCACGAACCGGGACUAAAGGUCUCAACCCCAUUAGUCCCGGUUCAUGCCUCAAACCGGGACUAAAGGUCUAAUCGUUAGUCCCGGUUUGAGGCACGAACCGGGACCAAUGGUUUUGUGCCAGGAGCGAGGCCCAUUGGUCCCGGUUCAUCCCACCAACCGGGACCAAAAGGUCCAGAUGAACCGGGACCAAUGGCCCACGUGGCCCGGCCGGCCCCCUGGGCUCACGAACCGGGACCAAUGCCCCCGUUGGUCCCGGUUCUGGACUGAACCGGGACUAAUGGGCUGACCCGGCCUGGACCAAAGCCCUGUUUUCUACUAGUGAGUCCAAUCUUGUGUUUAUUCCUCCAUGUCGGCAAAGAGUCAGUAGUCAAUCACCAAGCAAAAUUGCGCACAGUGGGGGGUACAUCACAUCUCCAUAUAUAUUGCCAGCAUUUUCUACUACCAUCUGGCGAUGUGCUAGAUGCCUCUACAGUAUUUCUGUGAGCUACUUCAAAAGCCAGCAUAUAUGCUGAUUUGACCGUGAAGACAUCGAGCUUCCCCGGCCCCCAUGCAAUCACAUCCUCACCUAAUCUUGGAGAUGCCCAUAUCUUUAAGAUUUCUUCCACAUCAGCUGAUAAGAAGUACUGCUGAAGAAGUACCAAGUUCCAAGAACCAUUAUCAUUUAGCAAGUCGGAGACAAAACGAAUGCGACAUCUUCCCUGCAGCGACACAGGUUUGUACGAAAAGGGCCUUGGAAUCCAGUUAUCUCUCCCCUUUGUUGGUAGUCAGAGUCACUAGGACAACUAACUGUGUUAGCAUCUAGAGUUGUAACAAGCCACAGUCCGCCUAUCUUGGUUGCACAGCGAUGAUGCUACCAUCUCCUACGACAAAGUACAUGCCUUGCACCGGAAACAGCGCAACCAUAUGACAUCUAUCCGAGUGGGCGACCACGUGGUGACCGGGCAUGAGGCCAUGGCUGAGGCCGCCUACAACCACUUCUCCGAUGUGCUCGGAAGUGCCAUGGAGCAUGACAUCACGCUUGAUCUCCGCGUUUUGCGUGUUCAACACAAUGCUACUCCGUGCGGUGGACCUAGGCCUUCUUCGACGCCUUACAACUCGGCACGCGGCCUCGAGUAUAUCGCUAUACGCGGACGAUGUUGUCAUCUUUUGUCACCCGGAUAGCCACCACAUUACCACCGUGUGAACCAUCCUACACAUAUUCGGGCUUCAUACAAACUUCGCCAAGUGUUCUGCCACCCCGAUCCGGUGCGAUGAUGACAACAACAUGAUGAUCACAUCUGAGAUGCAGUGCCCCAUAGCCCAAUUCCCCAUCACAUACCUCGGUUUGCCUCUCUCUAUCUGCAAGGCCUCCACGACUAGCUUGCUCCCAAUCAUUGACAAGAUCGGCCACAAGCUCUCCACUUGGCAUGCUUCCAUGAUGUCCAACGGGCAACGGCGACUGCCUUGCUCUCGUGCAUCACGUACUUAGUGCUAUCCCGACAUACUUCCUCACCACCUUUGCUCUCAACCAAUCCAUCCUCGUGAAAUUCAACCGCAUCAUCCGCGGAUUCCUUUGGGCGGGAGGCACCGAAGGCAAUGGGGGUCAGUGUCAUGUUAACUGACAGCAAGUUUGCAGGCCAAUCUCUCUUGGCGGUCUUAGCAUCAGGGACAUUCAAAGGACCGGCAUCACCCUCUGUGCAUGGUUGCUUUGGUUACAGUGCACCGACCCCUUGCAACCCUCGAGCCACUUACACAUACCUCACGACCCAGACGUGACUGCCAUCUUCAGCGCAUCUAGGACCUGGGAUCUUGGGUCCGGCGUCACCUGCAGAUUCUGGUCCGACCACUUGAUAGAGGGUAGAUCCGUGGUUGAGAUCCCCCCAGUCCUCGCCUCGUCCCUCGACGCCGACGCAAGACUCGCACCGUUCACGAGGGCCUCCACCUUAGAGCCUGGGUGCAAGAGAUUCAUGGAGCACUCGGACCGACGGCCAUGUUGCAAUAUGUUGAUCUUGAGCGACGUGUGCGCCACAUUGACCAGAUGAGCCGGAUACACUCAAAUGGCGCUGGACCGCCUCCGCUAUGAAAUGUCUAUGAUGGGAGAAUUUAAAUUCUUCUUAGGCCUUCAAAUUCUUCAACAGCGCAAUGGCAUCUUCAUAUUUCAGGAGAAAUACCUCAAGGAUGUAUUGUGGAAAUUCGGCAUGAAAGAUUGCAAAGGCGUCAAAAUCCCUAUGCCCACAAAUGGCCAUCUAUGCACUGAUGAAAAUGGUAUUGACUUUGAUCAAAAGGUAUACCGCUCCAUGAUUGGUUCUUUAUUGUAUUUAUGUGCAUCUAGGCCAGAUAUUAUGCUCAGUGUUUGCAUGUGUGCCCGAUUUCAACCUACACUGAAGGAAUCACACCAUAAGGCUGUGAAGCAUAUUCUUCGUUAUCUAGCUCACACACCAACACUUGGAUAUGGUAUCCCAAGGGCUCGGCUUUUGAUCUCAUUGGGUACUCACUCUGACUAUGCGGGUGAUCCUGUGGACCGCAAGUCAACAUCAGGCACAUGCCAUUUCCUCAGGCGAUCCUUGGUCUGUUGGUCCUCGAAGAAACAGAACUGCGUAUCACUGUCUACUGCUGAAGCUGAGUACAUUGCUGCUGGUUCUUGCUGUUCUCAAUUUCUAUGGAUGAAUCAAACCCUCAAGGACUACUACGUCAAUGUAAAGAAUGUGCCUCUCUACUAUGACAAUGAGAGUGCCAUCAAGAUUGCUCAUAACCCACUUCAGCAGUCGAAGACAAAGCACAUUCAAAUUUGUCAUCAUUUUCUUCGUGAUCAUGUGUUGAAGGGCGACAUUUCUAUUGAGCAUGUGAAGACUGGAGAACGGCUAGCCGGUAUCUUCACAAAGCCUUUGGAUGAGAAGAGAUUUAGCAAGUUGCGGUGUGAGCUAAAUAUCCUAGAAUCUUCGAAUGUCCUUUGAAAAGGACACACAUCCUAACACUUGUGCAAAGUUGAUGACUUAGACGUGCAACACACGAAGAAACGUUUUUCUUCAUUCAAUGAAGAUUAACACUCUAAGUGUGAAGAAAUUAACAAAGAAUUUGAUUCUCAGAGCCCUUCGACAAUUGUACAUGGUGUUUGAAAUCAUCAUUCUUAUACGGUGGGUCACGCCACCACCAAAAGUUGAAAAUCUUGAAUUUGAGUUUUUACUCAUUUUUGAAUUUCCUCAGUUGUUCAAAUUCUUCAACCCAUCCCACCUUAUCUUCUCAUACCCACUCCCCCCAAUUCCCUCUCUAUCUCUCCCGCAACCUCCCUUGCGCGGACGCCGCCAAACCACCACCUCCCCUGUGCCGCCGCGCCGCGACCUCCUCUGCGCCGCCGCGCCGCAACCUCCUCUCUGCGGCCGAGUCUGCUCCCCGGCGAUUCCCGAUCCACAACUGCCCCCAUUGCCCUUGCCUUCCUCUGCGCGCCGCCGCUCUAGGUCGCGUCCACCGCGUUCCACCACCACCAGCACAUCAGUACGGCGGUAGUGCGGCCCCGCUUCCGUUCCUCCAUGGCCGACCCCCUACCUCCCACCUUCUCCCUCCCGCCCCGAUCGACAACCUCCAUCACCGCCCCGGUCGUGUUGCCCCUCCCGACCCCGCGCCGCCGGAUCCGGGCAACCACGCCGGCGUGCCCUUCCACAAGCUUUCCCGUCGUGACCCUACCACGAGCUGCUCCAGCCCGACCCUGCUUCUUUAACAACGGCACGGUGGCAACUCCCCUUAGUUCACUCCUGCACCGGGGUCGCGAGCUCCGUUCACGGGCUCGCUGGAUCUCGUGAUUGGGGCGCUGGCGACGUGCUCUCCUACUCCACCGCGCCCCUCCUCUACUUCAGCUCCUAUGCCUGUGCCUCUCGUGGACUCAUCGGCGCACAGGCCGCUCUGGAUCCACGCUGGUUCGAGGCCCUGACGGCCUCCUCUUCCUGCUAAGUCACCGAGAUCCAUCGGGGUAUCAAGUUGUUUUGUCGGCCCAAUACUCCUUCUACCUUCCCUUGCCGGCGGUCGUGCAACUUCGGUGAACACCGCUACUCGCGCGCGGAUGACGACGGCGCAGUGGCACUGCAGUUCGCUUUGCAGGGGAUCCGUUGAUGCGGCCGUGGAGUUCGGCCCACAGGUGCAUGAAGUUAUCUUGCCCCCUCCCACAGUUUACCCUUCCGCAUGAGCCCCAUGCCAUAGUCCAUUGGGAAGAAGCUCGUGGUGCGGAUGUGCGGAUGCUCAGUGACAGUGCUGGUGUGUUUCAGAUUUUGUUUUUCUGCAAUUUGUAGGCGACGCUGGAGCAUUGCAGUUCAUUGGCUCGGGGCGAGCAGUGGAGAGGACACACGUGCGUGCAGUUCCCUGUCCAUUGAAAAUGUAGAAGCCCAUCUUGCUGCAAUGUAUGUGAGCAUAUGGCCUGCAAGUGAUGCUCUUUUCCCAGAUUGAAAACAUUGCAAUGUGGUUGGCUGGCCAUCGACGUGCACUUCGCUUUGGGGGGCAGUACGUUCUUUGUGGACGCGCACUUCGUUCGGCCCGAGCGGCAUGAAGCUCCGUUUGCGCGCAUGUGUGGCUUGGCUAACUAGUUUGUGCAGUCGCAUGAUACCUUUAUUAUGUGAUGCCUCCCUAGUUGCUGGAGUUCACUUCUUUGUAUUUAUUGAAACAUCAUGUAGUGCACUGUGAAACUCUCUGUUGUUCACUUGUAAAAACAAAUAGCGGUUCCCUUUGUAAAAAAAAGUGCAGCCCCUUAGUGGUUCACCUUGUAGAAAAUGAGAAAGAAAUCCCCAUGGGAGGUUCACUUCUUUUUCUAAUGCAAUUUGUUUUGUUUGUGGGAUGAUUGAAAAAAGAAGUUCACUCCACUUGUUUAGCAGCUCAUACCCCUUUGUAUGAAAUGCAAUUUGUUUCGUGUGUCUCAAAAUCAGUCGACUACCUCAACACGUGCAAUGCGUUUGGUUUUUGGAUGUGGUUCAUUUUUUAGAGUGAUGUUGUUCACUUGUGCCGAACAUGAAAGCGCAAAAAAAAUUAGCAAAACAAUAAAAAUAGUAAUGCGGUUCACUACGAUAUAUGAUGUGGUUCACUUGCUCGCGUCUCUGCGGUCCACUCUUGUUCAUAAAAAUUGAAAAAAACAUCAAAAACUCGUCCGAGAAAAAUUUACAUCCGACAAAGGAAACCAUGAAGUUCACUUGCCUGCCUGAUGCAGUGCGGUUUCGUUCGAUGCAGUGCGGUUUUCUGUCGAAUGACGUUCACUCACCGAUUUGGGUGUCGCAAAAAAUAGUAUCUGCAUUUUCGUAAUUUUAAAAUUGCUUUUAAACCGUAAGGAAUUAGAGAGAGUGUUCUACAUGAAAAAGUUGCGUCUCGUCGAUAUUUUUCCAAUGCCAUAUCAUUUGAAUCAUUUUGACAAGCAGUUUGUAAAAAUUUCACAAAAAACGACCGCUGCCAGUCAUCGUCCGCCACACCAUUCUAAAAAUUAACUUAAAACCGUAGUGAAUCUCGAAACCAAUUCUACAUAUAAAAGUUGCGCCUUGUCCAUAGCUUUCCAACGACGUAUUACACGCCUCAUUUCGAUAAACGGUUCAAAAACUAGAGUGAAAACAGUAUCGAAAGUUGCAAAAAUUUCAAAAAAUGUAAUUUCGCGAUUUAGUAAAUUUGAAACUGCUCUUAAACCGAAAUGAAUUAGAGAAAAUAAUAGAUAUGGAAAAGAUGCGCCUCAAUGAUAUCUUUCCAACGGCGUCUCAUUUGCUUUAUUCUGAUGAGCGGUUUUGAAAAAAUCAAGAAAAUACGCUCGCUGCCACUCGUCAUCCGCAGCACCGUUUUUGAAACUGCUCUUAAACCGCGAGGAUCUCGAAAAGUGUUCAACAUGGCAAAGUUGCGCCUAAUCCAUAGCUUCUCCACGGUAUAUUACACGCGUCAUUCCGAUAAAUGGUUAAAAAAUUAGAGCGAAAAAACUACCAAAAAUACACAGCGUGUAGUUUUUUCGACACGAAGUUCACUCGCCUGAGUACUGCAGCACACUUGGUUCAAACAAUGACGUGCAGUUGCGUUGAGCGUGCACUUCGGAAGUGUUAUCAGAAUAACUAUUCUGUUAAUAUUAGCAUAAUAGACCGACUGUAUAUUAUUCUGUUACGCGUAACAGGAUAUUAUUCUGUUACCCUAUGGUGAAUUCAAGCAGUUGAACUGAUGCUUUCUGUUCCUAUUAAAAAUCGUCUUCUUUAGUUCAAAAGUUUUUGCAAUUUUUUUAUCAAAACAGGGCGUGUAAUAUAUCGCUGGAAAGCUCUUGACAUCUACAUUACAAUCUUGUAAUUUGUUUUUGCAAAAAAUUAUGAUUUACGAGCAGUUUUGAAAAACCCGUUUUUUUUCAAGCCGAAAACGCGAAUCGUAUUUUGGACUUAAUUUUCAAACGGUUUGUCGGAAUUGAGCAAAUGAGAUGGCAUUGGAAAGCUUGUGAAAAUCCGCAUCUUCUAUAUUUCUACUAUUUUUUCAAAUUCUAUAUGAUUUAAAAGUAAUUUGAAAAACGGUGAAAUUCUGGGCGAAAUGUUUUUUCACUAUUUUUUUGCAAACGGUUUGUAGGAUUGACACAAAUGAUAUGGUGUUGGAAAGCUAUGGAAAAUGCGCAAAUUUUGCAUAUAGAAAGUUUUUUCUAAUUCCUUACGAUUUAAAUACGAAUUCAAAUACAGUUAAAAUUGAUUUUGAACGUGUUUUUUAAAAAGUUUGUCGAAAUGGAGAAAAUAAUAUACCAUUGGAUAGCUAUCGAAAAUGCAAAACUUAGUCAUGUUGGACGUUUUCUCUACUUCACAACCAUUUAAGAGUAAUCUUCAAUACGGCAUGACGGAUCCUGCUGUUUUCUCGUCUGAAAAACAGAUUAGUCGUACUGAUAUAUGUGUAUGUUUGUACUGAGCUAUUUUUUGUAGAGUAAUUUUAAGUGGUUCCGAAAAAAUGUUCUUAUACUGAUGCUUGCGUGGUUUUGUACUAAACGUGUUUUCACUAACUAGACUUUGCUCUGUUUUUUCAUGAGACCCAUCAUGCUGUUUUUUCGUGAGAAAAAACAGAGUACUUGUACUGAUCUACAUGUGUGUUUGUACUGAUGUAUUCUUCGAAGAGUAAUUUUGAAAGGUUCCGAAAAAGGAGUACUUGAACUAAUGUCCGUAUGGGGUUGUACUGAGCGUUUUUUCACAGACUAGACUUUACUCUAUUCUUUUUACCGAAAAUUGUUUCAUCAAUUGUUCGCAAAUGAUAGUACGAACUAAGAUAUGUGUUGGUUUGUACUGAGCAUUUGUUUCAUCAUUUGUUCGCAAUUGAUAGUACGAAUGGAGCUUUGUUCAUUUUUAUACUGAGCAUUCUUGUCAGUGCCAGGAUCUCCGGAUUUAUGUUGUUUUGUUCUGCGAACUUCCUCAAAAUUUUAUUGGUAAAUCACACCAUUUUUUUCUUUUGCUAAAUUUUUGUCCUCUGAACUUGUGACGGAUGGAGUUUGUACUGAUAUGAAUCAUUUUGCCGAACCGCCACAAUUUUUUGUGUAUUGAAUCACUAUAUAACUUAGAACCAAAUUGUUUUUCUUAACAUAUAUUUGAAUUGUUUCUAUAUGUACAUUGAAUUGGGGAAGAGUAGCAAAAGUUAUACAUACUUUAUGGAUAGUAAUACAUGAAUUUCUUGGUAAACUGAAGAAUGUACUCUGGACCGUAAUACAUGUCCUCUCGAGUUUGUACUGAUGUGAAUCCUUUUGAACUUGCUCUCGACGGUAAUACAUGCCCUCUCGAGUUUGUAAUGAUGUGAAUCCAUUCGAACUUAUGUGGCUUACAUCAUUGAACGGACUCUAUUCUUCUCACUACCACCAUUGUUCUGUCCAUUUCUUUUCGGACUUGCAUGGCUUACAUCGUUGAACGGGCUUAGGUGGAUAUGUACUAAUGAACUACUGUGAUUUGUAGCUCUCAGGAAAUGGAAUCCUUUCUUUCCCUGUUAUUCUGAAUACCAAACAGCAAAAAAUGAGUUCUCAUAAGCACGAAAAAAUAUAUAUGUACCCCUAAAUUUUGCAGCUAUUUUGUCCUCUUUCAUUUUGAAAAAACAUACAAAAAGCAAAAGCACAAACUAUACAAAAGGUUUUAGACACCAAACCAGUAGAGAAUUAAAAAUAAGCAUCAGGCAGCAACUUGCUAAAGAUAGCACGAGUCAUAUACAUACGCAUUUCAUCCCAUUAUACUUCUCCACCCGCAUGGAAAGUGAGAGAACCUCCCUACAUGCAUAUACAGGCAUCAAACUCCCUCUGUACCUAAACUAUAUUUUUGUUUGAUAUAUAUUGUGAACUCCUCUUGUCGAUGUACAUGAACCUGCUGUGCAGAGAGAUGAAAUGUAGUACAUCAGUCUAGCUUCAUUCAGCUAGAGAGAAACAUGAAAAAAUGUUCAGUUUUUUGGACGGCUUUCCUCUUUUUCUUUGUCCAAUUCCGCGCCACGACUGCCACCAUCCUGCAUGCAAGCUUAAAAUUAAUUGAAGCCACCAAACAUGCACUUUCAUGAGACUUUGCUACUAUAAGUCAGCGAACAUAUCUUUAGUAUUAAACCAAAGGCACACUUAUUAACCAGCACUCUUGUUCAGUUCAGAGCAUCAUCAAUAAGAUAAAGAUACGGAAACAUUAAGCCAAUAUAGAACAACUGGAUUGAUUUGACUCAAAUUUUUACUUUCAAUGCAUUGUAGGCAACAGCCGAUCCAAGUCAGAACUGAUGUGAUUUAUUCCAUUGAACUGAUAUGAAAGUUUAUCUAUACUGUUCUGUUUUUUAACACACACGUUUUGAACUAUUCCCGCUUUUUUCAUUAUGAAUUGAUGACAUAAGACAUGUUGAACUGUUACACAAGAGCAAAAUUCAGAAAUACAUAACAAUGGUGUACUCAAAAUAUGUGCAUUUUAAGGAACAAAACUUUCUGAACCUUCUAUACGAAAAACUUCAACUAUCAGUCCAAAGAGAUUUGAAGUUAAACAAUCAUUUCCCUUACCGAGUGUUAAGGAAAACGAAACCAGAGAUGACCUCGCCGACAGUAGGAGUAGCGAUGGCUGCCAAGGCGACGCGUUGGUACAUGUACUAAACAUCUGCUCAAACCUGUUGUAACAUCUACUUCAAGCUUUUUCUAAAUCAUUGUUGGGAGUAGAGGGUUUUAAAAGAAAAUACAGAGUGCCAAAGAAAGAAAGGAACAACCUAUUUAUCUAAAGGACUGUGAUAUUUGGCACACGUGUGCCAUAUAAGCAAAACUGCCACACCUCUAUUUCUUUCAUUUUAAAGUACCAUACGAUCCCUCGUUCUUUGACCCCGCCUCUUCCCAAAUUACCCCGCAGGCUCGCCUGAGAAACCUGCUUCUCCCGCACAUCUCGGGCGCUUACCCCCGAGAAAACUGCCACUUCUUCACGUCUACCACAUGAUUUCUCCUUAGGACAAAGUUACCAUGAUAUUCAUAUGAAAGUUAUCAGGCCUGUGUUGCAUAACUUACCAUACUAUUUACAUAGAACGUAUCAGGUACUAUGCUUCAACAACUACACCCUUUCAAAGUUACCACUGUGUUUUGUACACAAGUUAUAAGGUCUUUGAUGUGUAAAAUACCGUGGUACUUACACAUAAGUUAUCAGGGUAUAUGUACAUCAACCUCCCCCCGGUCAAAGUUACCAUGGGGGAUUGUACAUGAGUUACCGGGUCUACGGUUCGUAUAUUAUCAUGGUACUAGCACCUAAAAACAUGGGUGUGUUUCGGUAGCUUUUCACAUAGGUCAAAAAUUACCAUGAUGUUUUUGCGUAACUUAUCACGCCUAUAGCACGUGUGCCCCUCGUGACACUAAACAUUAUGUGACUUUCCCGUGGCAUGCCAUGUGUUGUGUUCAUCCAAGAGGCCCACGCGCGAGGCAAGUGUAUGUUUUUAACAACUUAUAUAUUUUCCUUUGGUAAAAAAGUUAUCAUCAUGUUUAUAUUGCAAGUUAUCGGUUAUGCGGUGCUUAUAUUAUCAUGUUAUUUACACAAAAAUUAUUGGGGAUGUUUUGAACAACUUUUUCCCGAGGCAAAAAGUUAUCAUGGUGAUUCUAGGUAACCUAUCAAGCCCGUAGUGCUUAAAAUAUCAUGCUAUUUACAUAAAAUUUAUCAGGGAUAUGCUUCAGCAACAAAUUCCACCCCCCAUGGGUCAAAAAUCUAUCAUGGUGUUUAGUUAUCGCAGUGCAUAUGUUUUCAUACUAUUUACACAUAAAAAUGCCAGGGGAGGGAGGUAUACUACCGUGCUAUUUACAAAGAAGUUACCGGAGUAUCUUAAAAAAAUUGCCUACGGUCAAAGUUACCAUGGUGCUUCUACCUCAGUUAUCAGAUGUGCGCUGUGUAUAUUACCAUCUAUUUACACAUAAACUAUCAGGUAUCUUUUCACAUUUGUUUUCCCCAAUGGUUAAAGUUACCACGAUGUUUGUAUCUAAAUUAUCAGGUCUAUGGCGUGAAUGUUAUCGUACUAUUUACAGAAAUUACCGGAGGGCGGGUUCAACAAAUUUAUUCCCAAUGAUCAAAGUUACCACGAUGCUUGAAACAAAAAGUUGCUAACGUAUUAAAGGCAAAAACAUGUCAAAAACAGUAUUACCCUUAGAAUGUUCAACAAUGAGUAUCAUAGGUGAGGUGGUUAGCUCCCUUUGUUAAUUACCUGCAGACCAGAGAUCAAAUCCUAGUAUAAGCAUUAUUUUUGCUGAAAAUCGAGAAGGCAUGUGGGGCCAUAAAUGACGAUUACAAAAAUUAGAAAGGCACAAGCGGGAGAGAAUUGAUGACAUUUGAUGCGUGUGGCAGUUUCACAAUCUGCCACACGGUUGCCAUAUACAUAUUUCGUUAUCUAAAUAGUGUGUGGAAUUGUUUACACAGAUGAACAAAACAUUACUUGAAGUAGAGGUUCUGCCAAAAGAAAGAAAGAGCAUCUUGCAGGUUCAAGUUUGAGUAGUUGAGCCAGACAAUUUAUCGUAGGCGUUGUAUGUAAUAAUAAUUUAAUUAUUUUCAUAGGAGUACGACUCAUAGUAUCGGCAUGGAGGUCGUGAACAAAAGCAGAAGUAUCCUUAAUUUUUUAUUAGUGAUUGUAAUUUUCCUUAUAAAGAACAUACUACUCUCGUGUAAACCCAUCCCUCUACAUAUGUACUGUCAGUUUUUUGCAAAUCGAACAAAUUGCGUAUGUAGCAAGUGCUAGUAUCUUGAAAUGCAGUUAUGCGUAUGCCCCUAAGAGUAGGUGAAUAGAAAACUCGAACCAAAAAUGGCUUUCUCCUAAUAGUAAUCGUGCUAGAACUCAUUCAAAGCUGAAGUGAACUAUAAUUAUAACCAGCCUUUGUCAAUAGAAGUCCUACUGAUCACAAAUUCCUCUAAUUUCCUCCAGACUCAAGAUCAAGAUGGUGGACAGUGCACGGAUAUUACAAAAUUAACAAUUCACAAUACGAAUUAAAUAUCACAAAUUGCAAGGUACAAGUUUUGAGCACAUACAAUCUUUCAUUGGUAGGCAACACUACAACUUUGGAGGUCAACACAUUAGGCAAACUCUUUGGAAUUAAGAUAGUGAAAAGUAAAUGUAUGCGAAAGCAAGCUUCAGUUCAGUAAACCAUCAAGCCCAGAUUGCUGCACUCCGAAUUUCCUUUAGACUUGUACGCUACCUUCAGGUCAGCAAGCUUUAUGUUCAGCAAGUGUGUAACAAAACAAGAAUUGAACUGGAAUAGAAUUUGAAAUUUGAACUGAAAUACAAUACGAAAACUAAACUGAGUGUACUUUCAGAUUUUCACAUGGGCAUCAGUGCAUGAAGCACCAAUGAAAUUGAACUGAAACAAACUUCAGUUCAACAAACUUAUAUGAAGUUAUAUGAAGCAUGCUUGAAUGCGUUGACCCGAAGCAUGCUUGUAGGAGAGUAGUGGCACUGGAAGCGAGCCUUUUGCUGAACUUAUAUGAAGUUAUAUGAACUUGUCUAACUUAUAUGGAACUUAUAUGAAGCCUUUUGCUGAACUUAUAUGAAGUUGACCAGACAAGAUGAUACCGAGGCGCAUCAGAAUAUAGGAGAGUGGUGAUGCAAGUCAGUCACCGGCUGGGUAAUGAAGCGGGUGGUAUGCGGCAUGGAGACAACCAGAAAACGGGACAUCCAGGGGUAGGGAGCAUCGUCGCUGAAGAUCAGAGAGUGUGGAGCGCAGGCGUGCAGUGUCCCCCGGCCGGCACCGGAGACGAAGGAGAUCGGGGAUAGUGCACUUUUUUCGUCAGCCUACAAGAUGCUCAAGGACCAGGACAACAUGUAGUUUCAGAAUUACAGAUUGUGGUCAGCUAUAGGAUGUUUCUGGGACCAUGUUUUAGCUACGAGAGAGCAACAACAUCACAUCAUGAGAGAGAGGAUGCAACAUCAAAAAUUCAGGAGAAAGAUCAGAGCAGAGCAGAAGUAAAUAUGUUUUGAGGAGAUGAACUGACCAGGAUUUAAAUGAACUCUCACUAGCAGUAAUUUUUGUACUUCGCAUGUAGUACUACAUGGACUUGCUGUAAAAUACAUUGACCAUGUAGUAAUUUUGAAGUUAAUUAUCACUACUGCAGAACCGGGCAAUAGCACCGGUUCGUAAGGCCCUUUGUGCCGGUUUCGGAAUCGGCACUAACAUUUCGGCACUAAAGCCCCCCCCCCCUUUAGCACCGGUUCAGCAUGAACCGGUGCUAAAGGGCAACCACGUGGCACGAGCCAGCUCCGGGGGCCGAGAGCCCUUUAGUACCGGUUGGUAACACCAAUCGGUACUAAAAUGUUUGGGGGGGUUUUGGUUUUAUGAUUUCUUUUUCAUUUAAUUUUGUGUUUUCCAUUUUAAUUCUUUUUCGUUUGCUGGUAUUUUACGGUACUACACAUUGUACACGUUAUGCAUAUAUAUAUAUAUAGAAUUUCUAGUAGAACCAAUCAUAUAUAUAUCAUCAAUGUCUCACAAACCACCAUAUUAAUUUACACAUACACACAUGUAUAGCUAUAUACAAUUUCUCCUACAUAUGCAUGUUGCCUUCGGAGCCAGUUGCAUUAGCCUAAUUGGUGCCUUCGGAGCACGAUGACAAUUGGAAGUGGUUCAUGACCUGUUCGAUGGGGGCGGUAGCGGGUAAUAGUAUUCUCCCUUCGGAUUUAUGACCUGGUCGAGCAAAAAUCCCGCUAUUUCCUCUUGAAGUGCUUCUACGCGCUCCAUUUCUAGGAGCUUGUCCCGCACCUCUUUGAACUGUUAAGAAGGAGAUCGAUAUGCAUGUGUAUUAGUUGUGUGACUAGAUAUCGAUAAUGGUGUAAAAAUUAUGAAUAGUGUUCUAACAAGAGUACCCAUUCCUGUCUUUGAGAUCUGCUCCUUUCGGAUGCCAUCAUGCGAAUGUUCUCGCAAAUGCAGAAUGCACACAGAUUAGUCCCCUACGCCUGCUUCAGGGCCUUUAUUACGAGAAUGGAAUUUAAUUUGAUCAGAUAAUAAUUAAUCAAGCAUGAUAAUUAAUGAGAUGGCAACUAGCUAGCUAGGUAGUACUACUUAAUUUGAUCGAAUACUACAGAAGAAUCUAGGACACUCGCGGUUCCUAUGGCGCGGGCGGUGGACACCCAAAGAGAAGGAACCCUCACAGGAUCAUAGCUGAAGUGAGAUCCCUGAAGAAACUGCCAGGUAUUGGAGAACCUGACGCCCUCUAACGCAACCAUGUAGCGAUGGACGUGCUCGUCCUCCUCCCUGACACGACAACGUACCACCUCCGGCAGGGCUGGUUCCCUCCGCACCGAAACUGGCCCACGCGAACGCAACCAAACGAGAUCAGGGUCGACGACGGGACCCGGGGCCGGGUUCCUCAUCAAGCGGCGCGCCCCUCCAAGCAGCACCUCCCAGUGCCAGCCCGGCGGAGCCCAGUCCCGGACAUGGGUCAGCUGGACGUCGUCGCGGACGUAUCGACGGCGAGGAUGCGGGCCGGGCAUCGUCGACAACAAAUACUAGCUAUAUGCCCGCAAAAAGUAACAUUUUUUUAAUGAUUGGAUUUUGAUAACUAAAAUUUCUAACAUUCUAUAACAUUUCUAACAAUGCUAUAUAUAACUAACAUUUCUAUAACAUUUCUAAUAUUUCUAUAACUAAAAAAAGAAAAAUUUCUAACUUUUUUAUAACUAUUUCUAUAACUAAAAAACAGAAAAAAUUCUAACAAUUCUAACUUUUUUAUAACUAUUUCUAUAACUAAAAAACAGAAAAAUUUCUAAUAAUUCUAACUUUUUUAUAACUAUUUCUAUAACUGAAAAACAGAAAAAAUUCUAACAAUUCUGACAAUUCUAACAAUUCUAACAUUUCUAACAUUUCUAACUAUUGUAACAAUUCUAACAUUUCUAACUAUUUCUAAAAAACAGAAAAAUGUCUAACUAUUUCUGAAAAACAGAAAAAUCUAUAACUAAAAAUGUAUGUGUGUGUGUGCGNNNNNNNNNNNNNNNNNNNNNNNNNNNNNNNNNNNNNNNNNNNNNNNNNNNNNNNNNNNNNNNNNNNNNNNNNNNNNNNNNNNNNNNNNNNNNNNNNNNNNNNNNNNNNNNNNNNNNNNNNNNNNNNNNNNNNNNNNNNNNNNNNNNNNNNNNNNNNNNNNNNNNNNNNNNNNNNNNNNNNNNNNNNNNNNNNNNNNNNNNNNNNNNNNNNNNNNNNNNNNNNNNNNNNNNNNNNNNNNNNNNNNNNNNNNNNNNNNNNNNNNNNNNNNNNNNNNNNNNNNNNNNNNNNNNNNNNNNNNNNNNNNNNNNNNNNNNNNNNNNNNNNNNNNNNNNNNNNNNNNNNNNNNNNNNNNNNNNNNNNNNNNNNNNNNNNNNNNNNNNNNNNNNNNNNNNNNNNNNNNNNNNNNNNNNNNNNNNNNNNNNNNNNNNNNNNNNNNNNNNNNNNNNNNNNNNNNNNNNNNNNNNNNNNNNNNNNNNNNNNNNNNNNNNNNNNNNNNNNNNNNNNNNNNNNNNNNNNNNNNNNNNNNNNNNNNNNNNNCGAGAGGCGACGGGGGGCGCGCGGCGACGGGGACGGCGACGGGCGCGGCGACGACGGGAACGGGGACGUACGGGCCGGGGCGGCGAUGACGACGGGGACGGUGACGACGCGGCCGGGACGGGGCGGCGGUGACGACGGGGACGGGACGACGGAGCGGCGACGACGGGGACGGGGCGGCGACGGGGGCGGCGACGGGCCGGGGCGGCGACGAGGGAUAUGGAGACGGCAGGGGCGGCGUGCGAUGGUGCAGAGGAGAAGAAGCAGACGGAGAGAUGAGAAACUGACGAAAUUUUGAAGUGUUUUCUUAUAUAGAACCCACCUUUAGUACCGGUUGGAGCCACCAACCGCUACUAAAGGUCUGUUUUGGCUAGCCCAAGCGGCGGGAAGCGACCCCCUUUAGUACCGGUUGGUGGCUCCAACCGGUACUAAAGGCCCCCCCUUUAGUACCGGUUGGUUCCACGACCCGGUACUAAAGGGUGUGCACUGCCAGGCGAGGGGCACAAAAGUUUAGUCCCACCUCGCUAGCCGAGGGGCACUCGCACCUGCUUAUAAGUCCCGCCGUCGCUGCUGUCUCGAGCUCCUCUCUUAAGCAGGCCUACUGGGCCUACCUCUUCUGCGAUGCCCUGUUGGGCCUACUGGGCUAGCGGGCCUGCAUCCUGGUCCAACUUGAAUUUGGGUUUCUAGUCGUAUGCAGGCCGCUGUGGCCCAGUAGGUGGGCUUUCUUUUCUUAUUUUUUUGCUUUAUUUAUUUUUGUGAAUAACUUAACUUUGAAAAUAUAUUUUUCAGUGAUUCUUUUUUCUUAUGUUUAAUAUUAGUGUGUUUUAUCAUUAUAUUCAAUUUGGUAAUGCUUAGGUUAUUUAAAAAAUGAAAUGCCUUUGUAACGGAUGAGUUUUCGUCCGAAACCCUGAUACUUCGAAACAGAUUGUCCAUUUUGUACACGAAGUGCAUCCAGUUUUUGCGGUAACCCUCUCUACUUUUUUGCACAUGCUAUGUGGGUGAAAUUAUGAUACCAUGCCAACUUUCAUCCUUUUCUGAGUUCAUUUGAAAUGCUUUUCAAUUUCAGGGUCAUUUAGCUGAAAAAAUCAGUAAAUGCAUGAAAGAAUUUGCUUGCACAUAAAAGUUCUUCACGUUUCAAAUGCCAAAACACAUAACUAGCUACCCUAACUAUUACAGAGAUUGCCUCCUGGGUGUGAAACACAGAAGAAAGUGAUGAUAGUUAAGCCGAUCACAUCCCAGAUCUUUGGGUGUGAAACUUUUUCUUCGCGUGUGUCCUUUUGCAUCGUAGCCAUGGAAAAUCUUCAUCAUUUAACGGGAUGCUCGGGUCAAUAUUCACUGUGAAUGGAGCAAUCUCAUCAAACUUUUCAUAAUCUUCUGACUUGUCUGUCUUGUCAUCCACUCCCACGAUGUUUCUCUUCCCAUAAAGAACUAUGUGCCUCUUUGGCUCAUCGUACGAUGCAUUCGCUUCCUUAUCUUUUCUUUUUCUUGGCUUGAUAGACAUGUCCUUCACAUAGAAAACUUGUGCCACAUCAUUGGCUAGGACGAAUGGUUCGUCUGCAUACGCAAGAUUGUUGAGAUCCACUGUUGUCAUUCCGUACUGCGGGUCUUCCGUUACCCCGCCUCGUGUCAUAUUGACCCAUUUGCACCGAAACAAAGGGACCUUCAAACCACGUCGAUAGUCAAGUUCCCAUAUGUCCUGUAUAUAACCAUAAUAUGUUUCCUUUCCCGUCUUGGUUUCUGCAUCAAAGCGGACACCACUGUUUUGGUUGGUGCUCUUCUUAUCUUGGGCGGUCGUGUAAAAUGUAUUCAUUUAUCUCGUACCCUUUGAAAGUCAUUAUAUUCGAAGAUGGUAACUGGGACAGCAAGUACAGGUCAUCUUCAAUAGAGGUGUCAUGCAUGGUACGUGCUUGCAACCAGCUGGCGAAACUCCUGGUUUGUUCACGUGUAAUCCAGUCAUCAGACCGCUUCGGGUGUUUGGAGCAUAGCAAAUUCUUGUGUUCAUCCAUAUACGGAGCCACCAAGGCGGAAUUCUGUAGAACUGUGUAGUGUGCUUCAGUGAGAGAAUGUCCGUCCAUACAUAUUAUUUGUUCCCCUCCUAGCGUGCCUUUUCCAUCUAGUCUGCCCUUAUGCCGCGAUUCAGGAACACCAAUCGGCUUAAGGUCAGGAAUAAAGUCAAUACAAAACUCAAUGACCUCCUCAUUUUGACGGCCCUUAGAGAUGCUUCCUUCUGGCCUAGCACGGUUAUGAACAUAUUUCUUUAAGACUCCCAUGAACCUCUCAAAGGGGAACAUAUUGUGUAUAAAUACAGGACCCAAAACGUUAAUCUCUUCGCAUAGGUGAACUAGGACGUGCGUCAUGAUGUUGAAGAAGGAUGGUGAGAACACCAACUCGAAACUGACAAGACAUUGCACCAAAUCAUUCUGUAACCUUGGUAUGAUUUCUGGAUCGAUUACCUUCUGAGAGAUUGCAUUGAGAAAUGCACAUAGCUUCACAAUGGCUAAUCGAACAUUUUCCGGUAGAAGCCCCCUCAAUGCAACCGGAAGCAGUUGCGUCAUAAUCACGUGGCAAUCAUGAGACUUUAGGUUCUGGAACUUUUUCUCUGCCAUGUUUAUUAUUCCCUUUAUAUUUGACGAGAAGCCAGACGGUACCUUAAUACUAAACCCGGGCAUGGGCAGCCCGGCCCAACGACCCGGCCCGAGCCCGGCCCGAAAAACUCGGGCCGGGCCGGGCCGGGCUUGACAUUCGGGCCGGGCUCGGGCUUUGUUUUUCAGCCCGAAAGAUAGUUCGGGCCGGGCUCGGGCUUUAAUUUUUCCGUAUUUCGGGCCGGGCUUUCGGGCUUCGGGCCGGGCUUGCACGUGCGCGUACUAAAAAACAACAUUCGGGCCGGGCUUUCGGGCUUCGGGCUUGAUUUCGGGCCGGGCUCGGGCUUGAAAAUGUGGAGUAUUUCGGGCUUCGGGCCGGGCUUGGGCUUGAGAAAUGAAGGUCGGGCUUUUACAAGCUCGGCCCGAAACCCGGCCCGGCCCGACGUUUGCCCAGGUUUACUUAAUACUGAGCAGGCAUUCAAAGAAGAUUUCCUUCUCUUCUUUGGUAAGAGCGUAGCUUGCAUGACCCUGAUGUAUGCCGUCUUUUUCGUGCAUACGUUGCUGGUCCUCCCGUGCCUCAGGUGUAUCUUUUGUCUUCCCAUACACGCCCAAGAAGCCAAGCAGGGUCACACAAAGAUUCUUCGUCACGUGCAUCACGUCGAUUGCGGAGCGGACCUCAAGGUCUUUCCAAUAGGGCAGGUCCCAAAAUAUAGAUUUCUUCUUCCACAUGGGUGCGCGUCCGUCAGCGUCAUUCGGAACAGAUUGUCCACCAGGACCCUUUCCAAAGACCACCUUCAAAUCCUUGACCAUAUCAUGUACAUCAGCACCAGUACGAUGGCGAGGCUUCGUCUGGUGAUCCGCCUCACCUUUGAAAUGCUUGCCUUUCUUUCUUACGGGAUGCCUGCUCGGAAGAAAUCGACGAUGUCCCAGGUACACAUUCUUAUUAGCCAAAUAUAUACUGUCGGUAUCGUCCAAACAGUGCGUGCAUGCACGGUAUCCCUUGUUUGUCUGUCCUGAAAGGUUACUGGGAGCAGGCCAAUCAUUGAUGGUCACGAACAGCAACGCCUUUAGGUCAAAUUCUUCCCCCAUGUGCUCAUCCCACGCACGUACACCUGUUCCAUUCUACAGUUGUAAGAGUUCUUCAACUAAUGGCCUUAGGUACACAUCAAUGUCGUUGCCGGGUUGCUUAGGGCCUUGGAUGAGCACUGACAUCAUAAUGAACUUUCGCUUCAUGCACAACCAAGGAGGAAGGUUAUACAAACAUAGAGUCACAGGCCAGGUGCUAUGGUUGCUGCUCUGCUCCCCAAAAGUAUUAAUGCCAUCUGCGCUUAGACCAAACCAUACGCUCCUUGCAUCAUCUGCAAACUCCUUCCCGUACUUUCUUUCGAUUUUUCUCCACUGUGACCCGUCAGCGGGUACUCUCAACUUUCCGUCUUUCUUACGGUCUUCUCUGUGCCAUCGCAUCGCCUUGGCAUGCUCUUUGUUUUGGAACGAACGUUUCAACCGUGGUAUUAUAGGAGCAUACCACAUCACCUUGGCAGGAAUCUUCUUCCUGGGGCGCCGGCCCUCGACAUCACCAGGGUCAUCGCGGCUGAUCUUAUAGCGCAAUGCACCACAUACCGGGCAAGCGUUCAAAUCCUCGUACUCACCGCGGUAGAGGAUGCAAUCAUUAGGGCAUGCAUGUAUCUUCUGCACCUCUAACCCUAGAGGGCAGACAACCUUCUUUGCUUCGUACGUACUCUCGGGCAAUUCGUUGUCCUUUGGAAGCAUAUCCUUUAUCAUUACCAGCAACUUUCCAAAUCCCUUGUCAGAUACACCAUUCUCUGCCUUCCAUUGCAGCAAUUCCAGUGUGGUGCCCAGCUUUUUCUUGUCACCUACGCAAUUCGGGUACAACAAUUUUUUGUGAUCCUCUAACAUGCGCUGCAACUUCUUCUUCUCCAAAUCACUUGCGCAGUUUCUCUUUGCAUCGGCAAUGGCCCGACCUAGAUCAUCAACGGGCUCAUCUGAUGCCUCUUCUUCAGCUUCUUCCCGCAUUGCCGGCUCAGCUUCUUCCCGCAUUACCGGCUCAGCUUCUUCCCCCAUUGUUGUAUCAUCAUAUUCAGGGAACCCAUGGCCAGGAUAGCUGUCGUCGUCCUCUUCUUAUUCAUUGUCUUCCAUCAUAACCCCUAUUUCUCCGUGCUUGGUCCAAACAUUGUAAUGGGGCAUGAAACCGGACUUAAACAGGUGGACGUGAAUGGUUCUUGACGUAGAGUAAUUGUGACCAUUCUUACAGCGAGCACAUGGACAAGGCAUAAAACCAUCCGCCUGCUUGUUUGCCUCAGCCGCAAGCAGAAAAGUAUGCACGCCCUCAACGAACUGGGGAGAGCAUCGGUCAUCGUACAUCCAUUGCCGGCUCAUCUUCAUUACACAACACCGAAUAGACCAAAUUAAUACAAGUUCAUACAUAAAGUUCAUACAACACUUAAAUGCAACAAACAAAUAACUCUCUAGCUAAAGCAUUUAAAUGCAACAACAAAUACGAUCAAGAUCGCAACUAAGGUAACAAUGGAUCCAACAGCAUAAUGAUACCAAGCCUCACUAUCGAUGGCAUAUUUUCUAAUCUUUCUAAUCUUCAAGCGCAUUUUCUCCAUCUUCAUCUCGUGAUCAUCGACGACAUCGGCAACAUGCAACUCCAAUUCCAUCUUCUCCCCCUCAAUUCUUUCAAUUUUUCUUUCAAGUACUCGUUUUCUCUUUCAACUAAAUUUAACCUCUCGGCAAUAGGGUCGGUUGGAAUUUACGGUUCACAUACCUCCUAGAAAAAAUUUCUAUGUCAACUUGAUGGGCAUAAUUUGUCAUAAACACAAAAUGCAACUAGUUUUAAAAGAGAAUAUACAUACCACACCCGAAUCAUAACAAGGACUAGGGCCGACGGGGACGGAUAUCAAAACCAUAGCACUAUAUGUAUAACAAACAACGUACGGGUAAGAUAAUUAUACGAGUAACUAUAUAUCCAAAUCACACAAACAUCAAUUUUUAUAUAAAAUUUCAUGAACUAGAGGCUCACCACAAGGUGGUGCCGGCGACGGGACGGUGCGGGCGAUCGACGGUGGCUACGAUGGAGAUUUAGAAGGCACUAAGUAAACCACACCUACAUAUGCAAACUAAGUGUUAUUUUUGACCUCAAAUUGCAUAUAAAUCAAAUACUAGCACAUAUAUAUAUAUAUCCUCCCAAAUUACUAAAAUCACAAAUUAAUCACUAUAUAAAGCAUUGCAAGAGCUAAUCUAGCAAUGAGAGAUGAAAGGACAAAGUUGCUAACCUUUGUGAUCAUUUGAAUGGAUGGGGGCCUUCAAAUCUUGACAAAUUUUGGGCAAAAUGUGUGAUGAGCUCGAGAGGAAGAGGGGAAGAACAGAGAGGAGAGGGGAAAGGGGAAUAAUAGAGUGAGCUUGGGUGGACGAAGGGUCUAUGUAGGACGACCUUUAGUACCGGUUCGUGCCAAGAACCGGUACUAAAGGGGCUGGAGGGGCACCUGUCUGACAACAUCCUGCCACCACUCUCAUUAGUACCGGUUCGUUGCACGAAGCAGUGCUAAAGGUUCGCCACGAACCGGUACUAAUGAAAGCGGCCCGGCUAGCCGUUGGAACCGGCACUAAUGUAUACAUUAGUGCUGGCUCAAAUACAAACCGGCACUAAUGUGCUUCACGUUUGACCCUUUUUCUACUAGUGUAUAUGAUCAUCUCAAAGAGCUCAAGUUGUACUGAAAGCUCAAGUUGGACUAAAACUCACUCGAUAACUGAAAAUCCUAGGGCGAGGGGUGGGAUCCAGGGUGCUGCUAGCAAUGAACGGCCUGGGGUGGUGGCGUUGAACGGCCUGGAGUGGUGGCUGUGAACAGCCAGGGUGCUCCGGUGGCAGAGCCCCACCGGAGAUGGUGAUGCAAGCAGGAGGUCGGGAAGCAGUGGUGCCGGUGGUCGGGGUCGUCCAAUGCACAUGGCACACCAGUACAGGAAGUUGAUUCAUCACCCAUCCAUAGUUUUUUUCCUUUUUGGAAUCCAUUGAACUGAAAAAAGCUACAUGUGAGCUGAAAGUAUGAAAAUAACAUAUCUUUGAAAGAAUAAAGAACUAGCUUUAACAUAUCUAUGAAAGAAUACACCUCCGAGGAACUAGCUUUGAACAUAUCUCUGAAAGAAUAGAGAGCAUGCAAAGUUCAAGGAAAGAAUAAGCAAAAUGGCACACUAGUACGCAGUAGUACGAGUCCAGUCAUGUACGUGCUAGUAUUAGGUUUGAAUAGUAGCUAGAAUUGAAGUUCAGGUAACCAUGGCACACACAUCAUACAGUUUCAAUCAUGUAUGCACACACUGUAAUAGUAGCUGCAAUUAAAGUUCAAAUAACCACGGCACCCAUAACAGAACAAGAAUCAGUGUAGCAGCUAGGCAAGCAAGCUUCAUCAGCAUGAAUACACAUCAGCGGCAAGCUAGAACACGCUAGUAGGCUGUAGAAGUCUCCUUGUAAUUUUUCAAACAGAAGUGCUUUAGUUCAGUUCAGUAGUAAGGCAUGGAAAAAGAAAAGCAAUGGAAUAAACUAUAACUGAGCCAAAUAUGUAAUUUCAACAAACUAGACCUCAUUGCUUGACUUCAGUAGUAAUACACGAUCAUCAGUUCAAUAUAAACAUACUGAUGUUAACAUCAUCGUACAUCCAUUGCCGGUUCAUCUGCGUGCAUUAUAUAUAAUUAAGUGUGUCAAAAACCAUUACAGAACAGCAUGAAUAUAGAAGACCAAAUUAAUAGGAGUUCAUCAUCACAUUAAAACCAAAGUACAAUAGUGAUCAAAUGUUAUUACUGAAAAAAUAAAUACAUAAAGUUCAUACAUAUAUAUUUCUCAUUGAAAAACAUAUAUAUAGCUCUCUAGAGCAUCUAAUUAAACCAUACAUUGAAACAAUGCAAAAACAUUUCAAUGCAACAACAAAUGCGAUCAUAAUCGCAACUAAGGUAACAAUUGAUCCAACGGCAUAAUGAUGUCAAGCCUCGGUAUGAAUGGCAUAUUUUCUGAUCUUUCUAAUCUUCAAGCGCAUUGCAUCCAUCUUGAUCUUGUGAUCAUUGACGACAUCCGCAACAUGCAACUCAAAUCCCAUCUUCUCCUCCUUAAUUCUUUUCAAUUUUUUCUUCAGGUAAUUGUUUUCUUCUUCAACUAAAUUUAACCUCUCAACAAUAGGGUCGGUUGGUAUUUCCGGUUCACAUACCUCCUUGAUAAAAACAUCUAUGUCACGUUGGUCGGCAUAAUUUUCAUACACACUAAAUGAACAAAAUAGUUAUAAAAUAUAAUAUAUACCACAUCCGAAUCAUAGACAGGACGAGGGCCGACGGAGGCGGAUACCAAAACCAUCGCACUAUAUAAUAACAAAAAAUAAUAAAAGUAAGAAAAUUAUACAAGUAUCUAUCUAAAUCAUACAAGUAAGAACUUUUUUCUUUUAGAAGAUAAGAACAAGAGGCUCACCACGGUGGUGCCGACGACGAGAUUAGCACGGGCGAUCGACGGCGGUGAGGACGGGGACGGGACAGGAUGGACCGCCAAACCUAGACAAAUCUUAAGGAAAAUGGAGUUUGGACAAGGAGCUUCGAGAGGAGAAAGCUUAAGUAUGUCUCGGGCAUUUCACCGAACACCUCAUGUGCAUAGGAGGUGAGCUAGAGCACCACAAAGCUCUCCCACGGCCGGCCAAAAAAUAGAGCAAUGCACUGCUCUGCUCGCGGGCAGGGGGAUAUAUAGGCCUCUCUUUAGUCCCGAUUUGUGGCUAGAACCGGGACUAAAGGACCCCAUUUGGUCCCAGUUCCAACCACCAACCAGGAUUAAAGUUUGUGGGCCAGGACCGAGGCCCAUUGGUCCUGGUUCGUGUCUGGAAGCGGGACCAAAGGGGUCAGACGAAUCGGGACCAAUGGCCCCCGAGGCCCGGCCGGCGCCCUGGCUUUACGAACCGGGAUUGAUGCACCCAUUAGUCCCGGUUCAUAGGGAAUCCGGGAUUAAUGCCCUUUUUAGACCUGGACCAAAGCCCUAUUUUCUACUAGUGUUGUAGGCCUCGCUCACAUGAAGUAAGAACGGUCGGUGACGAUGCCUCAUAAAGUCCAUGUGGUGCAAUCAUAGUUGGUGGUGCAGGGGAAGAAGUAACCUUCUUUGAUGGGGAUUCCAUCACACGCUUGUUCGUCAUGUAGACGCGUCCUCUUAAUUUCUGUUCAGCUUUACAGGCAAGAUGAAACAAAUGAUCGAUAGAAUAUAGUCUUCAUGCAUUAUUAUGUCUUGUAUAUCAUGUAUAUCAUGCAUUAAUCUAAGCCCAGAUACUGAAUCAAGCGAGAGGGAACUAACGAAAAUAUAAUAGCUCCAAGUAGCUAGAUAUAAGUGAGGUAUGAACAUAGUGUAUGGCAACCAAGAGCAGACAAAAAAAUCCAACACUUAUCACUUAUAUGAACAGAGCAGGCUGAACAGCAAAAGAGAUUGUUCAAAAGAUGCUAGGUGGCCAAAACUUUGCAUCAACUUUUUUUUUAUUCUUUUUUCUGAAUUUUUUUUUUCAACUUUCAGGCCGGCCGCUAGUAGAAGUCACGUACACAAAUAUCUGACCAAAUAGGUAUGAAGGGGUGGCCGGGGCACGUCCGGUGUAGCCCAUCGGCGCUGUCCAGCGGUAAAAGAUCUCAUGCCAUUGCUGAAAUUCACGUCCCCCACCCAGGGCAUUUUGGUCAUUUCGCAUAUGUGCCCUUUUCCGAUUCUCUGCCUCCUCCCCCAAUGAGUACCUCCCUCAUUUUUCUCUCCCUCACAUCUCUCUCGAGAGAGAGCCGCCGCUGCCAGUCAUCCUCCCCGUCCGCCGCCGCCGCCGCCAACCAUCCGCAGCCGCGCCACCAUCCCCUCCCCGUUCCACUCCCAUAACUGAGCCAGCCAUGGCCGGGAAGAAGUGCAAGUCCUCUUCCUUCCUCCCUCACCCCUGAUCUGAAUCCUCUCCCGAAACCCCAGCUAGCUGCAUGCAUCCCAUAUGGCGCCGCCCAGCUCGCAGCCCUCGGCCGCCGAGCCAUCGCGAGGCUCCUCGCGCAAGCGCACGACCUCCUCAAAGGCUGCGCCCGAGGCCGACCUGGAGUUCACCGUCACCAAGGAAAGGUAAGGGGAGGGGAGGGGAUGGAAGGGAUCGAGCGACCAGGUGAGGCAGCGCCCAGAUCCACGGGGCCAUCGACACUUCAUCAUCGACCUCAUCCGCGACCGUCCUCGAGGUCGGCCAUGGUGGUCUGGCCCGGCAACAGCCAUGGAAGGAGACGCCCGAAUCCCUGGCCCUCCAAGUACGCGCCUGCUGCAGGCCAUCUCCGGCGAGCUCAUCCACAGAUCUCCAACUAUGGUGCGUGCGCAUGAUACCUAAACCCCUUGUCUUGUCAGUUUCUUCAUCUCCCUUCCUUGUGAUUCCUUGGUUUGUUUUGUGCGCAGUUGCUCCGAUCUGGAAGAGGUGGUGGAGCUUUUGUUGUUGCUGCUGCAGGUGGACGAGGCACCACCCCCUCUUUCUACUUCUGGACACAACCUGGUGGUGAUUGCUAAUUUCAGUGUUAAAAAAUUCAGUUCAAUUCAGUCAUGUUCUUUUCCUUUUGUGGGGAAAUUCAGUCACAUUCAAUGUUCAACUUUUAGAGUUAACAAACUGUUGUUAUGACCACUGUGGUUUAGAUGUUCAGAAAUUCAGACAAGUGGUAUGAUGAAAUGAGCCACCUUUUAACCCCCUAGUAAACCUACCGUGAACGUUUAGAGAGCCAAUGCAGGGAGGUGUGGACAUUUUACCAUGUUCAUAGGAAGAAAUCAACAUAAAAUACACAGCUUGUAGAUGAUUCGUCAACCACCAUCAAACACGACUUGUAACUUUCUGGACUAAACUGAACCGUGCAAUUGACUCAAAAUAAAACUAAACCGUGCAAUUGACUCAAAAAUAAAUAGUAAAUAUACUUUGGUUGUGUCUGCAGAAUUGCAUUAUGGAAAGAUGUGUGUGAGGUUACCCCAUCGCCACUGGUUCCAACUUUGUCCAUCAUGUCGCUCUGAUGAGAAGACCUCGUCCAUGUUUCAUUAAUAGGGCAGAGUGCUGCUGAAGUAUCUAUGUUGAACAAUUAUAACAGUACCAAGUAAGUUUGCUCCAAUUGCAUUUGAUGCAGAAGGCACAACACCGCCAUCAUGCGUCAGGUUCAGUAGAAGGCACGACACCGCCACGCUCUCCUCCACUACAACGCCACGCACCCGGUAAUUAAACAUGCUUUCUCUUCAUUCAAGUAGUAAGAGNNNNNNNNNNNNNNNNNNNNNNNNNNNNNNNNNNNNNNNNNNNNNNNNNNNNNNNNNNNNNNNNNNNNNNNNNNNNNNNNNNNNNNNNNNNNNNNNNNNNNNNNNNNNNNNNNNNNNNNNNNNNNNNNNNNNNNNNNNNNNNNNNNNNNNNNNNNNNNNNNNNNNNNNNNNNNNNNNNNNNNNNNNNNNNNNNNNNNNNNNNNNNNNNNNNNNNNNNNNNNNNNNNNNNNNNNNNNNNNNNNNNNNNNNNNNNNNNNNNNNNNNNNNNNNNNNNNNNNNNNNNNNNNNNNNNNNNNNNNNNNNNNNNNNNNNNNNNNNNNNNNNNNNNNNNNNNNNNNNNNNNNNNNNNNNNNNNNNNNNNNNNNNNNNNNNNNNNNNNNNNNNNNNNNNNNNNNNNNNNNNNNNNNNNNNNNNNNNNNNNNNNNNNNNNNNNNNNNNNNNNNNNNNNNNNNNNNNNNNNNNNNNNNNNNNNNNNNNNNNNNNNNNNNNNNNNNNNNNNNNNNNNNNNNNNNNNNNNNNNNNNNNNNNNNNNNNNNNNNNNNNNNNNNGUGCCAGCGAACCCAGGCCACACCCAACGCGCUGGGGGGCUGCUAGGGCCGCCGGCGGAAGCAACAGCCAAUCAUAUUCCUCCAUGUAUCAUUUUUUUCUGGUCCACUCAUUCACUUUUUGCCUGGCGACUGUCCUGGGGGCACCAACGGCUGGGAAACCGUCCUCGCGUUUCAUUUGGCGAAGGUGUUUUGCCCCCCAGGACGUGCUAUAUUUGGCCCGGCGAUUGUCCUGGGGGGGGGGGCUCCAACGGCUGGAGAUGCUCUAAUUCAUUGUAUUUGCAUGUUUCCAGCAGCCAUGUAUCAAAAAAAGCUUCAGCUUUGGGUUGUUGAUUUAGCAGAAUCAAUCAUUAAUUGUUCUGCUAUAUAUGUUCUUAACCAUGACAACCUGAUUAGGCUCUUAGUUUAUUAUGGUCUUUGUUCUGGGUGGAUCUCUGACUAUUCUGGGUGGGCUUGAAUCUCUUCUUUGUUUCUUCAUCUCCUCUUAUUCUGAUUCCUGCGUUUGUUUUAUGUGAAGGUUGCUCCGAUGAGGACAAGCUGCUUCUGCAGGUGGAUGGGCCCUCAAGGCUGCUCUGCCUAUUCCUCCUGCUACCCCCACACGUGGUGAGCCCCACCCGUUCUCGAGCUACCCCUGCAAAUCUGAUGUGAUGUGCACAAAAUACUUGCAAUUGUUCUCGACACAAGAGCAUGUCAUGUAUUGUUUUAUUUGAAUGUGCAAUUUCAUUGCUUCUGUGUUGUUUGAUGCUUGCUUCACAAGAGGGAAAUCAUGGAUAUAAACUGCGCUUCCUUUCAAGUUGAAUAGUAAUGAUCACCAUUUGGUUCCAUUUUCUCCUCUGCAUCCAGUGUUCACUCUCUCAUAGAUGUCCAUAUAUACACAGUUCUGAUCUCCUUUUUCUGCGGCUCCAUACAUCGAACACAAAGCCGUCGAUGCAUUGAGGGCUCAAUGUCGUCUCCGUCGGCUGAGCGGCAAGCCGGGGUUGGGCCUGCACACCGUCUAUCAGCACCCUCCCGCGUCUCCAUUCACGGAUCUGCAGGUCAACCCCUCUUCUCCUCCUAUCCACGCAUCUUCUUUUCCAGAGCUAGGUGUAUGGUUGCAUGGCAAUUUGUGUUUUGGGGCUCACCAUGUUCUGCUUGCCCUGGUUGGCCAAUGAGGCUUUCCUUUUCUGGUAAAGGCCAAAUGUACUAUUCUCUAUGCUUUAUAUUUUUGUAGUUCCUUUGUUUCCAUGCUUGUUUUUUGAUGGGGUGUAAAUAUAUGCUUUUUUGUUCCUUGUCUGGAUUCAGGUAGGGCCUAACAUUAUUGUUCCUUUGUGCAUGGAAAUGUUGGUGGUUUUGUUCCUUUGUAUAUGGAAGGGGGCCUUGAUUAGAAUUUCUAACGUUUGAGUUGUAAUUAGUGUUUUUGUUACACAUGAAAACAUAUGGUUGUUUGUCCAAUCACAUAUGAAAAAGAGAUGAUUGUUUGUCCAACAAUUUUCUUUCUCUGUGAUAGUUUUACUAGAAAUAAAGUAUAGUCACUAUUACAUCCUAUUUUAUAUCUUGUUGUGUCGUGAUAUCUGUAUAGACUCUGUCUACGUCCUUUUGAUAUUCCAAGUUUUGUUUUCUAUGGCUCAAUUAGUUACCCCGUAUCAAGAGAAAUUUAACUGGUAUUUGCGGUAGAGUUAGCUGAAUUCAUGAAGCAAUGAUUUAGUUAUUAUUAAAGCUGAAACACAACAUGUUUUGACAAAUGCAUUCUAAGUAAAGCCUCCAACUAACAUAACCAAAAACAUAUUCUUUAGGUUUAUCAUCUAUUGAAGUAUUAUGUAGAAUUUUAAAUCAUACGAGGCAAAGCAAAUGAGCUCUAUGCACUUUCCAUGUAGCACAGAACAAAAAUAAUCAUGUAUAUUUUGGAUGCACCUAGAUAUACUCAUCAGCAAGGCUGAGGUUAUAGGGCACUCACCCACAUUGUCGAUAUCUCCGUCACUAUGAUCACCCACAUGAUGGACAAUUCCCUUCUUUCUUUUCUCUGUGGCUAUUGACACUUAAUGCUAUUACUGUGUGCAUAUAUGUACUGUGAUCCAUUCUCAUUCUUCAUAUCUUGAGAAACUAUCUCAAGAUACUCGCGUUUGUGUUUUGGAGAAAGCCUAUUCUAUGAUUAAUAUAUCGAGUAUGGAUGGCGCGAUAUCACCUCUCUUUAUGAUGAUGUUCUUACAGAAUAUAGGUUUUAUGGUAACACGUCUUAGCCAACACCUAUACUGAUGCUCAGACCAGAUGAUUAUAGUCUCUCCUUGCUAUUUUUCUUGAGGUGUGUACAUCUAUCUAGACAAUUUAAUUAAAAUAUAUAUUCCAUACAAACCAUCAAUACAUGUUAGUUGACUUUGAAACUAAUCAGUAAAAAGGUUGUCCCUUUCGCAUUUUAUGGACAUAAAGAUUUGGUGUUGACUGUCGAUCUUCAGUUAACACAUGACCUUACAACCGUAGGGAGUGGGAAAAAACUUAUAUGUUUGGCACAUUUGAAGAACAUAUCAUAGUAACGAAGUUUUGGUAAACAAUGUCCUAGAUCUCAACCAUAUAGAAAUACUAAAUAUAUGUUUAUUUGUAUAUGGAUUAAUUAUACAGACUUAUAAAACCUUGUGCAGGGCACAUAAAAGAAAUUUGAAAUAACUAUUAUUUCAAUAUUUGCUUUUUCAGUUGAGCAUAAUAGUUUAUAGCCUGAUAGGCUUGGACAUAAUUGUCUACAUGUACUGCUCAGUAGGCGACAUCCUUUGGGAAAUUGAGGAUGUCCUCGUGCAUUUUCUAAAUACAAUUGGGGCAUAUCUGAGGAAUGAAGGGAGGAAUAAACUCGUGGGAGAGUUCGGUGCAGAGGAAGAAGAACAAGAUAUUAUUUAUUUCUUGUGUACAGUCAAGCUUGUGCAUUGUCCCACUGUAAGUUAUUUCAACAAUAGUAGUAACUGUUAUCUCUGGCCAUCUGUUGCGACAUUUUCUUUAACCACCAAUGCAUAUUUAUUUUCUUGUUAAUAACUCUCAUAAUUGCCUGCUACUGUUUCAGUUCUGGGGCCAGGCAACCUUGAAUCCAACGUCCACCUGCAGGCUACAUCUCAGGUAGGAUAAAAAGAUUGCAGUGAACUUGAUGGGUAUAUCAUUAUUGUUGCCUCCUAAUUUGUGUGAUGAGCAAAUGUGUAGAUUGUGUGUAAAUCCGAGAUGCCUAAAACGGUUGGGAACUGAACUUGUUACCUCGGUUCACUUUAAUGGCAUGUUAAACUCGAUGCACUUUCUGGACUGUGACAUUUUUCCUGAAAUUUUGGAAGUGACUGCUAAUGUAGUCUAAAUAGAGUGACUGAGUAGUUACUUUCUCACAAGAGUUGACUUCCCGUUAUUGGAGUACUUGCUAAGAUGGAUUGGUGGUUUUUAUGUUAGAUGAAAAAUAUUACAUCAAUCUUUACGGCUUUUUAUGGGCAAGUGAUUCCGACUCCAUAAUAAGGAAUAAUAUAGCCCUAGUGCUGUGAUAAUGUUAAAACAUUUACCUCUUUUAUCGGUUCAUGUUAUGUAUUUGCUGCGAAAAAAUGGUCUUAUAUCAAAUAAUAGCCUAGAGCUUUUGGAGUGUUAUUACUUGUAUUUGUUGCUUGGAUGUAUAAACCUUCAACAGACUGUCAAUUUUGCUUUUAUAUAAUCUGUUUGUUUAAGUCUGCUGCAUAUUGGUCAAAAGCUCAUGCUAAUUGAUGAUGUUAGGUGAUGAUCUUGUAUCUAACAGUGAUUUCUGAAUGCAUGCUAAAGAAAACUCAUGAACAUCAUGGCGCCUUGUUGAUGGGGUGAUCAAUAGCUACUAUAUUGGGACCCUGCACUUAAAUUGUAGGUCUGAUUUUGUUUCGGAGUUCUCCUGCUACCCACAAGCUCAGAUAGUUCUUUUGUUUGUGCAGGGGAAAUUGCAAAGCAUAUUAUGAAUUGUUACAAGAAACUAUUUCUGCUGUUUUGGUGCAAGGAUGUUGCUUUUUAGUAUGCUUCCCGUAUCUUGGUAUCUUGGAAUAAUAAACAGAUAGAUGUCGUGUACCAAGAUUAUUCCUUGUUGUUAAGAGGGAUACAAAUAUUAUACAAGAAUUUUUCUGAUGACUCCUAAAGCAUAUUUGGAUAUAUAGCAAAGUAUAUUGUCGCUUCCCUGUUAGUAAAAUGAUUAUGUUAGAAAUUUGGUUGGCAGCCCCUACAUUUGGCUGAUUGCUAGCUGACUGGAUUACUCAUGUUUGCGGACUCUGGUAACUUAUGCCUACCAAGAACUACAUGAAUUUUGUGUCUUGCUGCAGUGAACAUUACCAAACUAAUUCUAAAGGUGUUAUAAUCAUGUUUUCUUUUGCAUUAUCAACUUUUAACUUUUGUCAUUUGUUGACACAUUCCUUUUGCAUUAUCAACUUUUAACUAUUGUCAUUUGUUAACAUGAUUAUUUAGCAUGUUCACUAUGCGAGUAGUAAUAAUAGGAGCUAUUUAUUUGCCAGAUAACUAACACUAUUCAUAAGGCAUAAGGGUUAGAAAAAGAACUGUAUUCUUUUUGUGAUGAUUUUCGUAUCACUACAAGAAAUGUGUUAAUACAUGACGGAUGCAAACUGUCACAGGUGUGCGCAAAACCGUCAAGGUAGCUCAGCCAUGACGGAUCCAAAAUUCAUCAUGUAUAUCGCGUCAUAAUUUGACCACCAUGCAGUCCAUGACGGAGCGCCAGAACCGUCAUGGAUCCAUGACGGUUCUUGACCGUCACAGCUUACUAUCAAAUAACGGCGUUAACCAUGCAUUCCACAUCAUCAUCUGACGUGGCGACCAACUUGGAAGCCCAUCUAGUAGUUUGCCCAAUUAGAAGUUUGGCCCACUUAAUUUCCACUCUAUCCAAGACCAUCGGCCCAUGUUUUCAUCAACCCAUAAGAAUAUUGGCCCAUUAAAUUUCAGGACGGUCCGAGGCCCACUAAUUUUGGUCGAGACAUUAGCUCGUCACUUUGUUUCUCUUGGUCCAUGUAAACUUUGAUGUAAUAAGAAUUUUUCUAAUUAUAUAUGCUCAUUGCCUUGUAAAUAAAUAUGGAAAUUGCAUAAACAAACCAAAUAAAUAACAUUUUUUUCAAUCAAAAGGAAGAAAUACACAACAAAAAACUUGAAAUUACGGAUGUGUUUCCAGAUCUGGCCUACUACUCUCCCUAAAGCUAUACAAUCUGCAGUCACCAUAUCAAGCGUCGGCCAGCGCUCGCGGGACGUCAAGAGGAGUUCAUCGCCAUGGCUUUUCUGGCCACAGAUCUGGCCGUGUCCGCUGGUGUCAUCGAAGGGAAACACCAUGUCCACCACCGUCUCGCGUCGACCCAUGCUCCUGUCCAGCUGACCUUCUCCACCGAUAGGGACAAUGGAAUCGUGGUUACCUGCGCAUCGAUGAACCAUACAGCACCUCGAAUAAUCAAAAGAAAAGGGAAGGGAGAAUCUGAAGCAACAGGGAGGGGAGAAUCUGAAUCGACAAAUGACUCAACCUGCAAAACUCGACGGACAAGCUAACGGCGAGGCCGGCAAAGGCCAUGAACGUAGGCCCGCACUGACGAAUGGGCUGCAGUGGCCCAGCAUGGAGCAGCCCCCGGCGGCGGCACGGCGCAGCCACCCGGCCAUCGCAGCACAACAUAACCGCCGCCAAGCCAGGGGACGGGGACGUGCGGCCAAAGCCACCGCCGCCAAGCACUCACAGGGGCCCAGCAUGGCAACCCCAGAAGGUGUGGAAGCAGCCUGAAUGUCACGGUGGCGAUGCUUUCCUCUGUGUGGCCUCCAAGCGCCUCGACCUGCACUCAAAUCGGGAGAACGGGAGGCUGAGAUGAGAGUUAACAUCGAAGAAGGAAGAAGGAAAUAAAGUCCGAGCGGCGUCCGAGCGCAUCAACCUCAACAUCCAUCGCCUGCUCAUAGAGAUGGAAGGAGGCAGAUCUGGACGGAGGAAGAGGAACGACAGGUGAAGUCAUUGCUCGGUGGAAGAGAAUAUAGCUGGCCAAACGGGCCGGGAUAGUUGGGCCGGCCCGGUAGCACGGCCGGCACGGCACGGCACGUGCUAAACGGGCCAGGCCCGGCACGCAGCACGCCAUGGGCCGUGCCUGGGCCUGAAAGGCGAGCACGCGGGCUGGCACGGCACGGCCCGAUUAACUUUUUUAUAUUUUUUUAUGUAUCCUAAUAUGGGCCAACAGGUAAAAAUAGGCUAAAAACGCUCAAUGCGCAAAAUAGGAGGUAGAUUAGUGGGCCUGGCGUGCUGGUGGGCCGGCCCGAUUAGCAUAGGGGUCGUGCCUGGGCUGCAGGCUGCAGCACGCGGGCUGGCACGGCACGGCCCGUAUAAUAAUCGUGCCUAGGCGGGCCGGGCCGUGCCAGGCACGAUUAGGAUGGGCCGUGCCGUGCCGGGCCGGGCCGGCCCGUUUGGCCAGCUAUAGAAGAGAAGACGGCGGCGUGUGGGGUCUAGGAUAAAGGAGUGGAGACAGAGAGACCGUGUGCUCGCCGUCGGAUCUGCGAGAACGGGCGGCUAGGAUGCAUGAUCCGCAUGAUGCUCGGAUCAACCAAUCAGGAUAGAGCAUUUGUAUCACGCCGGAUCCACGCCUCCUCGGCUGGGAAACCCAAGUGGGCCGGCCAGGAAUUCUGAACAUUUUUAGUUUUGUGUUUUCUUUUUCCCUUUUCCCUUAUUUUCUAUACUCCCUUUUUCUUACUGAAUCAAUAACUCCUGAAAGUCAGAUUUUGAGAAUCUCGCCCUGAACGCCUUGUCACCACUGGUCCAGGCGCAUGCAACUUGGCGCAAGAAUAUCAGAGAUGUCACACAUUUUUCGUUCGGAAAAGAAACGAUACAUCAAGAGCACACACGUAUCCCCUUUGCCCACCACACACUCCCCCUCCCCCCUCGCUUCGUAUUUUUCUCUCCGGUGUCCACGACGACGUGUACCGUCUCGGAGCAAGGGACGGAGGCCAAAGCCCAGAGNNNNNNNNNNNNNNNNNNNNNNNNNNNNNNNNNNNNNNNNNNNNNNNNNNNNNNNNNNNNNNNNNNNNNNNNNNNNNNNNNNNNNNNNNNNNNNNNNNNNNNNNNNNNNNNNNNNNNNNNNNNNNNNNNNNNNNNNNNNNNNNNNNNNNNNNNNNNNNNNNNNNNNNNNNNNNNNNNNNNNNNNNNNNNNNNNNNNNNNNNNNNNNNNNNNNNNNNNNNNNNNNNNNNNNNNNNNNNNNNNNNNNNNNNNNNNNNNNNNNNNNNNNNNNNNNNNNNNNNNNNNNNNNNNNNNNNNNNNNNNNNNNNNNNNNNNNNNNNNNNNNNNNNNNNNNNNNNNNNNNNNNNNNNNNNNNNNNNNNNNNNNNNNNNNNNNNNNNNNNNNNNNNNNNNNNNNNNNNGUUUCACGGCGGUGGUGGCUGAGAGGAGAUGCGGUGAAGGGACUGCACAACACCGGAGCUUUGCGAGGUCCUACGUUGCCACUGGUGGUGGUGGUGGCAGGGUAUGUGGUUUGUUUGGAGCUCAUGUCAAGUUACAGAUAAAAAUGAGCCCCCCUCCCCCCAAAUGGCAAAUUUGUUUGCAGUGAUGGCAAGUUCACAUGGAGCCAUACUACAAAUUUUCCAUAUUUUUUAUUGAGGAAGAACAAUAUAUUGCCAUGGAAAAUUCAUACAUGGUUUCUUGACAUGUGUGGUAGAUGUGCUGGCAAGUUUUAAACCAAUAUUUGCCAUGGUUAAUUCAGUAUGUAGUUUUUGAUUUGGCGGUAGAGAUGUCAAGGCAAUUUUGCCUCCUCUAGUAUGCGGCGAUCGUCGCCCAAUUUUGGACGUAAGAACUCUCGAGGCCCAAUUUUCCAGCAAUUUUUAUCAGCUUCGCAACGUGGCUCUCAUUACACGCACGAGCUUUGCAACGUGGCCCGUGAAGUGGAGGUUGCUUUUGCAACACAUGUGGUGUUGCAUACCAAUCCCAUGACUAUGCAGCACGUGCCCGCGCCCCGGCUCGUUGCCUUGUCACUGUGUCGCGUUGGGACCCUCCCUAGCCACCACGCAUCAUCCAUCGCGACCUUGUCGCCGUCCGCCGCAUUGAUUCGGCCGGGGACGGAGAGAUCUACCGGCCCAGCCUAUCCACUGCCACGGUCAUCGGUGCCCCACCAAUGACAUGUGAACAACCACAACAAUCCCGGAGUCAACGACGACCACGUUUCUACACCACCAUCUCCGUUGAAAUUUUUUCUACAACAUCAUCUGUGUUGGAAAGGGUUAUGGAGCACUGCCUUUGUUGCAAUGGUGAGGGAGGGCAGGGCCACUAUAUUGAGCCAGAUCUAAUGGCUGCCGAGGCGGCAGAAAAGAUUUGCCGGCCGACGUGUAGUAUGUCCCACUAUUCUUUUCUGGAUUCGUUUUUCUGUUUUUUCCAGUUUUCUUAGAACUUUGUUUGGCAUUAUCUGAACUUUUUUUAAUAACACACGAAUUUUUCUUGUCGUGUAAUUAUAUAUUUUAAAAUGUAUGAACUUUAUAAAAAUACAUUCACAUUUCCUAUUAUAUUUGAAAUAAAAAAAUAAAAAAAGUUCAUGUCUACCUCGAAUUUGUUCAGCAUGUUUUUGGAAAAUGUUUCAUCGGUAUUAAAAAAUUGUCAACAUGUUUUUGAAAAAUGUUUGUCAUGCUUCAAAAAAUAGAAAACGUGUAUUUUAAAAAUAUUCAGUGUGUUUUAGAAAAUGUUCAACGUGUAUUAAAAAAAUAUUAUGUACAAUUAGUCUUACAUGUGUAUAGACUACAAACGUGUGUAACAUUUUUAAUACAUUUCCUAUGAUUAUUAUUAUUAAACAAUAAUUUUUAAUACAGGUUGAACAAUAUACAAUAAUUGUGUGCUUUUGGUCCUGAAUUAAGAUACGAAAUUUACAAAAUAAUAUUUAAUACAUGUUGAACUGUUUAAAUACAUGUAAAUUUUAGAAGAAGUUCACGUUCAUCCACAUAUGAUAAUAUUGUAUACACCGUUUUAUUAGAAUAAUAACAGUUGAGAUUUAAAGGUUCUUACGUAACAUCGUAAUAUAUAUGUGCCAGUAGUAUUGAACCGUCAUGUUGUCACGUUAUAUAUGAACAUAGGAGGCUGCAAAUAAUCAUGACGUACACACAUACCUUAAAAAAACAUGACGUACACACAUGUACACAAAUAAAAGCUCUAGGAAAAAAAAGUAGGAUGACGUAUGAAUUAGAAACGGAGACCUAGGGGAGGUAGAUCUAUUUAGUAUGAAAAAAUUCCAUACACACAUAGGACGUGAAGGCAGACUUCAACUUGGACACAUACAAGUAUUGCACAAGAAAGCACGCGUGAAGGAUAUUCAUUGGAAAAGAACCUGUACGUAAAUCUACCAACGAAAAGAAGGCAAUAAAUGUCUCCACAAUUAUUUCACUAAAAAUGUCUCCAUGACUUGGAUUUAUCUCCUUAUGCAAAACGAGAUCGAGUGACUACAAAAUUGGAAGUAAAAUAAAAUCAGCUAGAAGUUUCCUAAUCUCUUCACGGCUCUUUCUCUAAAAAGAAUUCUCCACGUACGACUCAGAUUUAUCUCUUUAUUAUAAGGAAAAAAAGAUUGACUGUCAAACGGUUGGAAAGAAAGAAAAAAUACGGCUAGAGGAUUUCCUAAUAUGAUUCGGAAAUUAAAUAAGGAAACACAUUUUUUUGCCGAUCUAUCUCCUUGUAGGGAAAAAAGAUUGAUUAUGAAUUUGAAAAAAAACGGCUAGAGAGUUUCCUAAUAUGAUUCGGAAAUUAAAUAAGGAAACGAAUAUUUCGGAUCUACUACCUCCGUCCCAAAAUAAGGAAACGAAUAUUUCGGAUCUAGUGUAGUGUUAAAAACGUAACUAGUGUAGUGUUAAAAACGUAGAAACGUUUUUAACACUACACUAGUGUUAAAAACGUUCUUAUAUUUUGGGACGGAGGGAGUACGUAUCUCCUUAUAGGAAAAAAAAGAUUGAUUAUGAAUUUGAAAAAGAAACUUAGGCUAGAGACUUGCGUACUACUAUGAAUAUUGGAAAUUAAUAAUUAAUUAAAUAAAGAAAUGAGUAUUGGCUAUUAUGCACGUUCGAUAGACUUCACACAAGACCAUCGAUCUCCGUGGAGACUAGGAGCAAAGGGCACAUUGGCUGGCCAGCUACGCAGAAAUAUAGUUGUUACUAAUGUUAACUGGACCAUUUCCUCAAAAAAGAAAAAGCUUAACUAGGCCAUGAAAGCACGUACAUGUGAGAGAGAAAACACUAGAUUAUCUAAUCACUGGCUAGACUUAGACUCACAUUAUACACCUGAGAUCAUCAUCGUUGGGCCAGAAUUUUGAGUGCCCUGCUGCACCUGUUGAUCAUGCUAGAGUAGAUCACCCAGAAACAUUGCAAUGCUAUUCGCUAAGGUAUUAAAAAAUAUUACGCACAAUUAAUCAUACAAGUGUAUAGACUACAAACAUGUGUAACAUUUUUAAUACAUUUCCUAAUAUUAUUAUUAUUAAACAAUAGUUUUAAAUACAGGUUGAACAAUAUACAAUAAUUGUGUGCUUUUGGUCCUGAAUUAAGAUACAAAAUUUAAAAAAUAAUUUUUAAUACAUGUUGAACUAUGUAAGUCCAUUUAAAUUUUAGAAAACGUUCAUGUCUACCUCUUCAAGGUACACAAUAAUGAAAAUAGAAUAGAGAUUUAAAAUACAAAAUAAUUGUAUACUACUACUUAUCGUAACUUUUUUAUGUGGGAAAAACUAAAUGCAAACUUGGACAAAAUAAAAAAGAAAACGAGUAGAAACUACUACAUGGUUGGCGUACAGGACCAGCCAAAUUAUAUGCGGUGCUAUAGGCGAGCGAUUUGCUCAAAAAAAAAGAGGCGAGCGAUACAUGGUAUAGUCUAUAUACGUUUCUAGCCCAUAGGUGGAUAAACACGGUUUGACCAGGUGGCUAGCUUGUUUGGUUUCAUAGCUGGAGGUCUUAGGUUCAAAACCCUUUGCUCACAAUUUAUCCUAGUCAGGACCUACAUGUUUCUUUUUGUUAUUUCUCUCUCUCUCUCUCUCAUACUAACAUGCGGGACCCACACUCUACUGCAAGCUGAUGUUAUUUCUCUCUCUCUCAUACUAACAUGCGGGACCCACACUCUACUGCAAGCUGACAUAGCAACAGUCUAGGCACCUCACGUAGCUUGGGACGUAGUGAGGACUGACAUGUGGGCCAAAGAAGUAAAAACGCACAACACAUUAGCACGAGCCAUCCAUGACGGUCCAGAUGAUGUAUAAGGGAAAUUUUUUGGUCCCGCUACUCAUUUCAUGACGGUUUUUGUGACGGUUCCUUUAUGUCUGUCAUAACGGGGGCUAUUGUUUUAGGAUCCAUUCUCAUCUUCCGGAUAUGUGACGAUUUCAGUGACGAACUCCGUAAACUGUCAUCGAUGGCACCCUAUAUGUGACGGAUUGUAGGAACGUCACCUGAAAUCCGUCAUGGAUUAACAGGUUUCUUGUAGUGUAUGGCACACUAUGGAUUCUUUGUAUAACACAUACUGUCGAUCAACAUGUGUUUACAACGUAGGGAGGAGCCGGGCGACAAGGCAGUCAGACCAAACUCUCUAUCCAUAUAUAUAGGUAGUCUGAUGUUAUGCCAUAGCCGAACCAUAUAUGUUUCGUGUACUGCUCUAUCAAUCUGGUCUUUUGGUAUAUUAGACUCUAUCCUUUGUAAUGAACUUAUUGUCAUGGGCGAUCAUUAUGACUGGAUCGUAUGGUAUGAAUCGGGUCUUUAUGCUUUGUGAUGAAAUAUCAUAUUAUCCUGUUCACCAGUUUGGUUUGGUUUUGAGCUAAAACGUAUAAAAAUACAUGGCUUACAACAAUGGAUAUAUGUGAUGAUAUAUUGAGUGAUUAAGCAUAAUUUUAGACUUUCGGUGCUGGACCAAUGGGAUGCAUGGGGUAAUUGAAUGUUUCUUCUUCACUUUAUUAUUAUCGGUUGGGAUCAGCACUCUCGCGCGAUCUAGUUAUGAUGAUGCUGCCUAUACAAAGCAAACCUACGUGGCUAUAAAGUGGAGCACCAUGCGAACAAGAAACUGGCGCUUGAGGACAAACACGAGUGGAACUGAUGUCUGAUGCAACACGGCGCUGCUGUACGCGUCAGGGCGGACAGCAACGACGUGUAACAGAUGGGAUGUCGGAUUGCACGCAAAACAAAGGAAUCCAAUGCAAUUUUGAUAGGUUUUUUUUCAGAUUAUGGACGAGCUUGCGGCGGAAACUAUGGUGGAGAAAAAAAAGUUUGAUCUAGUAGACAAAAUUUUCUCGUACAAAUCUAAACCAGCACUAUUUGUAGGAUGAUGCAACCAAAAAUUCAACUACGCAAGUACUAGAUGCAAAAAUUGCUAAAGGCUAAAAAGAUAGAUGCAAAGGAUGAACUAAUCUUUCUUUCUUUUUUGGCUUUUUUUGGGUUAUAGGACAUGAAAAAUAAACUAAUCUAACAAAACUGUAAAUCUCUCACCGAUGAAACUGAAAACUGACACCACUUAUGUGACGGCGGUCCGAUGUUUCGAUGAGAGUGAGGAUAACUAUCAAUUUGGUGGAUUCUGAUCUUGACGAUCCGGCUAUACAAUACCCGAUGAUAUGCCUCGACAAUCGCUAAACCAAUCUCCGAUGGUUAUUGACCUUGCCGUAGGCACGGUCAACCUGAACGACGAGGUUUGAGUUCCUGCAAGCAACUAAAGAGAAGAACAAAGGUGAAUUGCAAUCUGAAAUUGCGAAUGAAAAAUUAAGCACAUGAACUAGAUCAAAAGUUGGGGUUCCACUUUGGAUCUGAUAAGGCGGUAGUCCUACACGUCUCAUAGAUGCGAAAUUGUAGCAUGGCUAAACAAUACAAUAAAACCCACGUAAACCCUAGAAUAUGAUGACUAUUUAUUAAAGGCCGGCGUGGAGAACGCUUCAUCUAUUUUCUUGGAAGUCAAGACGGGCCUGCUAAUUGGCCGGACCCACACGCGAUCUGAUUUGAAAAUAAACUUCUCAUAUCAAUCUGGUGGCAAACUGCCUCGUCGGUACUAUAGGCCCAGAUGCGCAACACACAAGGCCAUGCAUGGGCGCAAAACCUAUCCGGCGCCCUCAGCGUCCGAUACCGUGUUAACGGUAAAGGGCGCAGAACGUCGUGAGAUACUUCGGUCCAUAUCCGGUGUGGGCGUUAGAGCAUUGAGAUAAGUACCAUGAUUCAAACCGGCAAUCGACUGGUUCAACACACACCACCUAACCAAUAGGCCACCUGCUGUUGACGUGGUUAGUUAUAGCUUUUCCUUCUUUUCUUCUUUGUACCUUCUUUUUUGUUUUUUUGUUGGAAUGAUUUUGUUAGUUUUUAUUAUUUUCCUUCUUAAUUUUUUUCAAUAAUACCAACAUUUUUCGUUUCAAUUUCGUGAAUUUUUUAAAAUUCGAUAUUUUUUUUCAAAAUUCAAUGAACUUAUUUGAAAAAAGAUGAACUUUUUACAAAUUGGAUGAACUUUUUUCAAAUUUGAUGAACCUUUUUUCAAUCUCGAUAUUUGUUUUCAAAUUUGCCAACUUUUUUGAAAAUUCAUGUACAAUUAUGAAUUCAUGAAUUUUUUGAUUUUUUUUAAUUUUGCAAAUUUUCCCUUUUUAGUUUUUUUAAACAGCAAUGGUUUUUUCGACAAGUGCUUGCAAGAGAAAAAAGGCUAGCAAAGGAGCGAGCAGCGACCGAUCGAGCCAGCAGCAGCGGUCGAGCGAGCAGUCGAGCGAUUAGCGAUCGAGCGAGCAGCGAUCGAGCGAGCCAGCAGCAGCGGCCGAGCGAGCAGUUGAGCGAUUAGCGAUCGAGCGAACACAUGCAUGUUGAUUCGAUAAUGCUCAAGUGUAAAUCUUCUGUAUUAAACUUCGCAUCUUCACCCGAGGUUUGUGCAUGUCUUCUUUAAUCCUGCAUAUAAAAUAUUGUGUUGUAUUUUUGUUUCGGAUAACAAAAUAAUAAUUCAUAUAAUUUCUAUUAGAAUUCAUCUGAUAAUUAUCUUUAAGCGUAAUAAUUGUUGUUAUAUCCGUACGGGCCAUGUUUAUAUCAGGUCGUUAAUCUUCUUCUUCUUGUCCGCAAGCCACUUCUUCACAUGCUCAUCCAAGAUGGUUUCGUCUGCCAACAUGAUCAUCGCAUCCACCACGUCCUGUGAGAGUUGCAAUCUCUCCUUCUCAAGCUCUAUGUAGCCAAAUGUCUUGGCCUUCUCGAGUUCCCAUUUGAUCGCCACCCCUUGGUGGUCCACCAUGUACGAAACUCCUUGCACCGCCGCCGCCUCCCUCUCUCGCUGCAGGCGUUGCCGCAACUACCGGGCGGCGUCCUCCGCCUUGCAAGUCGGAGCCGACGAAGGGUCGCCGACGGACAAGGUGGACUGCGUCUUCGUCGCGGUGGUGGAUCGGGACCGGUGGUGAGGAUUGGGAGCAAGGGUGGAGGACGGCGAGGGUUUGGGUGCGGCAAAAGUUGGAGGGCGGCGGGAGGAGGAGAAAGGGUUUGGUGCAUUUGGCACAAUUUUCGAUGGGGUCGGGCUGACGGGUCCGACGUGGCGGGCGCGCCCGGGCGCCCCAUAUUUGGGCUGGAUAUGAGGGGUGUCAGUCAGCCCAGGCGUUCGAGGCCCGUUUAAGGAGCCCGUCUGGAUCGAAAAAUCGUGACCGGGUGGCCCACCCGGGUGUAUGAGCCAGGCUUGAGGUGCCCGACUGUAGAUGCUCUAAUCAUCUAGAUCCGACGCUCAAAGGCUCCACCCUUCCCCACGGCUUGGGUUCGGGCGCCUCCCCAAAACUUCGUUGGGAUCCGCCACAACCGGCAACGGCGAGGCCAGAGGUGGCCGGAUCCGGCACAGGUUGGUCUCUCCCCUCCUUCUUCGCCCACCCUCUCCUCCUUACCUCACGCCACUUGUCUUCCCUUUUUCGCAGGUCGCCAUGGCGCGGACGGCGAUGACGGCAGGAGGGGCACACACAUCCGUGGAAUGGGACGCCGCCAUGGAGAUGGAGAUCGUUCGUCACACCACGCAGAGGCCCCAUGGAGCCUCCCUCCUUCGGUGACUUCUUCUCAGGCCCCACCCACUACCUCUGCCCUCCCCCCUCCCCUACUUUGAGUUGCACCAUGCUUUGUUUCAGAUUCAUCCACCCAUGGAUGAUACAUGGCAAGUUAGGGGUAGUUGCAGUUUGAGGUUAAUCCCUUGAUUGGCUGCUAUUUAGGGUUGAUUAGAUUAGUUAGCUCAGUUGGCUGCUAGACUUUAGGAGUGCAUACAUGGGUAUGACGUGCUCUGCACAUUUAGGAUUGAAGUAUUGUGCUGCAGCACUCAGUGACGUUAAUUUAGGGCAUUUCAGUGUCAGUUUCACUAUAUUUCGGGGGACAUUUAACAGUGCAAUUUCAUGGUUAUUACAGUGUAAUUUCAAGGUUCUUGCACUGUAAGUUCAGAGAAUUACAAUGUUAGUUUAUGUGAAUUCCCGUGCAUUUUACUGUGUAAUUUAAGUGCAAUGGAAAUUAUAGUGUAAAUUCAGUGUAAUUUACUAUGUAAAUUUACGGAAAUUACACUGUAAUUCGUGUGCAACUUUUAGUGUAAUUUACACUGUAAUUUCAACGGGUUUACAGUAGAGUAAUUUAAUUGUAAUUACAGUGUGCACUUUAGAGCAAUCAUACUAUAUAUUUAGUGAAUUUAAAGUAUCACUCCAUACCUUUCCGGUUUGUCUUUUUUCUCUACAAG
RNAcentral lists this long non-coding RNA (86587 nucleotides) under Triticum aestivum (bread wheat). RNAcentral's name for it is "long non-coding RNA (TAES_LNC002191)". The stretch from base 27348 to 27482 matches the Rfam family "MIR1120/MIR1122 microRNA precursor family". The record is from RNAcentral. Lineage: Eukaryota; Viridiplantae; Streptophyta; Magnoliopsida; Poales; Poaceae.